Molecule: long non-coding RNA, 51356 nt
Filed under: Citrus x clementina
Lineage: Eukaryota; Viridiplantae; Streptophyta; Magnoliopsida; Sapindales; Rutaceae
Description: Citrus clementina (C. clementina) long non-coding RNA (CCLE_LNC001066)
Source: RNAcentral
CUUUUGACGACGAAGAGAGAUCCUUCAACAUCCUUAUGACUCCAUUGGCUGAGGUCGAUGUUGAACUCGUAGAAGGUGACAUGAGCGGCCGUGAUGAGGAUCUCCUCAAUGAAUGGAUCGAUUCGCUGAAGAACUGUCAGGUUUAGGAGUUUUGUGCUCUGCUGGUCCAGAUUAGCCAUUAAUUUUCCGUUCUGCGACAUUUUUCAUAGUCCUUUUGGGCUCUGCCCCGAGCACAAGCGCCAUGGUUUUUCUGUGAGCUCUCUCUUUUGUAAAUAAAGUGUUUGAUGAGAUAGCCGAGAGAGAGUGAAAGAGUUGAGACUCGAGAUUGAUCUUGCUUUAACUUCUUUCAAACAUUUGGGAAAUAGCAUUUAGACCCCAAAAUUAGAUUUAUUAUAAUCAUUUUUUACCCGUACACUAUUAAUCCCUUUUAUUUUUUAAAUUGUCAAUAUUAAUGUAUUAGAAUAAUGUUAGAAAUCCCAAUUAUUAUCUCAAUGUUUCAAUCAUAACUAAUGUGAUAACUCAUCGGUGACUGUAACAUUAACCUAAUUAUUAAUGUUUAUCAUGAAAUGAUGAGAUUAUUAUUCAAGAAAAACUUAGUAAACAUCAAUGACUAAUAUAAUAUGACAAUUACAGCUGAAUAUUAGUACAAUAAUUAGGAUCCCUAAAGUUAGUGAAUGUAUUAUAAUAUAUGUGUGUUACACUAUUUUAUGUCUCUCAAAUUCAAUUAAGUAAUUUCAGAGACCUAACCUUUUAUUACAUUAAAUUAAGAAUGUAUACAUGAACAAAAGAUGUGCAGUUUUUGUUUUAUUUUUCACUAUUAUUUGCCAUUCAUCUACGUACGUCACUUGAUUUUUUGCGAUUAAUAUGCUUAAAUGGAUCUCUUUGAUAUAAAUAAAAUAAACGAAAAGUCUAAGAGAAAAAAAAAAUGAGGACCGAAAUUAUUACACCUACAACAAAUUUGCCCAGAGAGCAAUAAAUCAAACUUGCUUAGGAAGUUCAACAAUGAUUAGUUAAUAACUAAAAGAGCCUUCACCUAACAUGUUAAAGCUUCCGUCAAGCACAAACCCAUUGAAAGCUGUUUAGGUCCGUUUUCGAUCAUCGGAAAUUUGACAAAAUCAUAAAAACCCUCAUCUUAGAAAUUCCAAGCAUCAGGCAAUAGUCCGACUUUAUUGAUAUUGAGAGUAACACAAUAAAAGUUUCGUACAGAUUUUGCAAACGAAAAGCACAUAAUACACUUAACUAGGUGGAAAAAUUAAAGUGUAUGUAUUACAAACUGCUAACAAUAUACAAUAGUAAAAAUCACUCUUAUGAACUCACAAAUACUAGGCACCAAUAAGAGUAUGAUACAGCCAUUCUAAAUGAAAGAGAAUACAACUGUUUUACAACUAUGUCACAUCAAGAGAUAUGUUAGCAGGAUUAAUCCAGAUACCUAGGGAUGGCAACUGGAUCGCUCUAUAAUGGAUAUCCACAAUAUCCAUCCAAUUGGAUCGGAUAAUAUCCAUCCAAAAAUUUUUAGAUUUUGAAAUGGAUAUUUUAAAAUUAUAUCCAAAUGGAUAUGGAUGGAUAUAGAUAAUUAUUUUUACCCAAUGGAUAUCUAUUUAACCCAACACAAGUUUAAAAAAUUUUAAUUUUAUAAAAUAAAAAAUAAAAAAUAUAAUAAACAAACAAUUGUAAAAAUAUUAUAUUAACUAGUGAAAAUUUUAAAUUCAUCUUAUAUUAAAAACUAAAGUUUUCAAAAUUAUCCUUUAAUUUUUUAACUUAUUUAAUAUUAUUAAAAAUUAUUAUUUUAUUUUAUUAAUUUAAUAUUAUAAAUGGACAUCCACCGGAAAGUCACCGGACCUCCUCCGGAAUUCACCGGAAAGUUGCCGGACCACCGUCGACUUCGCCGGAAUUCGCUGGAAAGUUGCCGGACCACCGCCACCAACCACCAGACCGCCAUUUUAUAUAUAUAUAUAUAUAUAUAUAUAUAUAUAUAUAUAUAUAUAUAUAUAUAUAUUAUUACUAAUAUAAAUAGUUUAAUAACCAAAUUUAAUAUUGGAAUUUUAAUUAUUUUAUAUUAUUAUUUUUAUAUAAUAAAAAUAAAAUAUCCAUAGAUAUUCAUGGGUCUCCAUAGUUAUAUGGAUAAAAUCUAUAUCCAUGUCCAAUAUUAAAUACUGGAUAUGGAUAUAGAUAUAUCCAUUAUCGAUAAUUAUGGAUUUGUGUUUGGAUGGAUAAUAUCCAUCCAUAAUUGAAUAUUUGCCAUCCCUACAUAUACCUUUGAACCCAAUUAACCAACUCGAGUCAGAAACCAGGGGCCCCCAACUGAACCUUACAAUCUUGAAGGAAGAAGGAGACUUGUGGUCCAGAUAGGAGACUUACUAGAUCUCCUGCAAAAGAGAAUAUCUAUUGCUUUGAACCUCCAUUGAAAUUUCUUUUUCUCUUUUUCUUGUUUUAACUUGGAACUUUCCAGCAUCAUCUAUUUGAUCUUUUUUGAAGGUAAAAUAGCAAUCUAUAGGUUGCCAACAUGUUAUUCUGCCAAACCCCACCCCCCGGGGGACAACAAAUAGUGCCUACUCAACUUAUGUUUUCCAAUGGACGACAAUAUGCAAAUCGACCCAGUAGCCACAUUUUUCCUCCCUUUCAACCACCGUUAGGCAACUUUUCUAACCUUCCUUCAUUGCCCACACGUACAGAACUAUAAUAAAAAGACUACAUUAUUAUUGGGGUAGAGAAAAUAUGCAGACUAUAUUAUUAUUACAUCACAUUUUACUAAUUAACUAGUGCACGACUUAUUUAGUGUCAAAUCAAGAACUAAUUAGAAAAGACAACUCUUGAUAAUACAGACCUUAACAAGCAAUAGCUAACAACAUCCCAUAUACUCUUAUUUUAGCCUUCACUAUCCUGGUAAAAACACAAAUAAGUCUUGCAAACGAACAUUUAUAAGUAAAUUCAACAUUAAUUAAGAUUAGGUAUCUACUGCACCUUCAAUCAAUGACUGGGUGAAUAGCAUGGUCAACCAUCUAGUUCCUGUAGCCUUCCAUGUACCUAUGUUAGUUACAUUUUAUAUAUUAAGCCAUGAAAAUGAAGAACUCUUCCAUUUCAAACAGUGUUAGAAGAUAUUUGCAAAGCCUAAAGAUAACAUACGAGGACCAAGAUAUACACAGAUAGUUUCUUUACGGGACUAAAGAGCUUUUUUAGAUGUUAAAACUGUUUCAAACUCUUUUUCUUGUUUGGUUUAACUAAGGAAGAGCUUGUGGAAGAUUAAAAAUGAUGUUUCCUGUUCUCUGUAGGAAGCUUUUAGGAGAUUUUUUGGGUUUUUUUGAAAGGUUGAAUUGUCAAAAAUACCUUGAUGUUAUUGUUUGCUAAAAGAUGUUAUGGACAACUAAACAACCAACAACAUUUUGUUAAAAGCUCUACUAGUGUAGGAUCUACUUAAAGAAGCUAUACCAAACAGAUUCUUAGACUAAAUAACUCGAUCUUAAGUUUGUAAAAUUGGGCUCAGAAUCUCCACUAACAACCCCGCUUCGGUGAGAAAGCCCAAGCCUGUUACUUUGUAUAACCUUAUUCUGUAUGUUUGAUUGCAGGAACUGGCCGAUCAUACCGACGAGGUGAGUGUGCAACAUGAGGUGCUUGACGGGAUGUUUACUUUCUAUGAUACAACUAAAGCUAGCCUCAACAUAUAUCAGGUGCCUGCUUGUUUUUACCUUCUAGAUACUAAUAUUGUUUAGACGUGUAAUCUCUCUCUCCAUUGAACGCUAGACGGCUCGUCUCAAGCCUUCUACGUACAUCAGAGUCCUUCUUUAGCUUUUUAUGUAUAAAGUUUUGAUCUUUUUCCUUCAUUUGCUUGAAGCUCAUUACUGCAGAUUUUUUUUACAGGUUGCUAGUGUAACAUUCGACUUGCUGUUGCUUCUAGUGUUGGGAUCGUAUUUAAUUGUGCUUUUCAGCUUUCUUGUCACAACAACUUGGGUAUUACUCUUUCUCCAUAUCAAGCUUGAAGUUCUAAAUUUCAGUUUUAUCUUUUAUUUGAUGUUUUAUAAUUUCAUUGCAAACAGAUUAGAAUAGAAACUUCAAAAGUUCCAACUGACUAGUCCCGUGUAACUUUUUCAGGGAAUAUUUUCUCUCAUAACAACUACGAAUGUGUUAUGGUUUAGCUCAGUGACACAAAGGAUAGAAAAUCUAAGAUGCGAAAAAUUUUUGUUGAGAUUCAUUUUUCAUCCUGAUGUUACAGCUGGCCUUUUUUUUUUUUUUUGGCAGAGAAUAAUGCUUGUGUGAUUUCUGAACUUGGUGAUUGUUGAAAUGAGCUGAAAAUGAGCUGGAAAUGUGUUUGGUUAAUGAGAAAGAGAGCAAGAAAAUGAAAGAAAUCUAUUUCACUUUUUAUUUAUCAGCAUGAUUACAUUCACAAUAAAUCUAAGCUGCUAUUUAUACUUAAAUGAAUACACACGAGAAUCUUCUUGCUAGAUACUUCUAGAAACUCUACACGCACACUCACAUUGAGCUAGUGGUUACUAAAACCGUUACAACGAUAUUGCCAGCUCAGCAUAACCAACUUAUAACUAACACACUCAGCUGCAGGGGAAACCAUCAAGCUUACUGUGCAUCCUCUGUACUCAAGCUUCUUUAAGCAUGCUCUGCAGAUCAUACUCAAGCUUUUUUUUUCAUAGAAGUUGCAAUCUUUACGUUAUAUACUAGUUUGACUAGGCUAUAUAAGGAAGCUAUAUGAAAUUAGAAAAAUAAGCUAUACUAGGAAAGAAUAAAUAUAUGUACAGAAAAUUAGGCUAUAAUCUCUGACUUUAAACAAAUUUAAUAUCAAUUUUCUUCUGGAAGUUGUCUCGCAUGGGGCGCAUCAGUAUUGUAACGUCUGAUGGGUCUUACAUUAUCCACAAAAAUAACUCGUCCAUCUAGUACCUGCAAGUACAUACUCUGAGAUGCUUAAACUCAACAAUAUAAGCAUGGAAAAUUAGAGAAAAAUGAUGCAAUUUUACCUUCCCAUUCAUGUCUGCCGAGGCUUUUUGGGCUUCCUCUUCUGUACUGAAAGUCACAUAUCCGUAACCUUUUGAUCUAUUCUUACCUUUAUCCAUUAUUAUUGUAGCUGCAAACAGAAAAGAAUCGGAUAUUACAAAAUAGUGAAGAGGGAAGAGGGGUUGAGACUUAAAACAGAAAUAGACCAAACCCUCAGUGACGUGGCCAAAUUGUGAAAAAGCAUCAGCUAACAUUUCUUUAGUGGUUGAGAAAGAUACGCCUGCAAAGGAUGCCAGUUAAUUUUAUCAUAAUUUUAGAUGGUAAGAUUGCAAAUUCUGCAGCCAAAGGUAGUACGGAACUGAAUGAAGGAAAUCAAAUAUGAAUAUGUUUUCAAUCUCAGAAUAUUAAGAGUAGCAUAAGUAACUUGUGAAACAGUUACAAGUUCAACGGAAUUAACUGAUGGCAUGGUUGAAUUUUGUAAAUAUUUGAUAUUUUGAACCGAACACGGCAAACAGAUGGAUCCAGAUAAUCAAGAAAAACAUCAAUUCCAUGCAACCAAAUUAGUGUGGGCAAUGCAAUUGAGCAACACUAUAAAAUUAUUCAAAGAAAUCUCUAGGUCAGUAUCCAAAUAUAUUUCUGAAAAUGUUUUUUUCUCAUUAGCGCCGCCAUUUUUGUAAUAGAGGGUAAAGAAAUAAGUAACAAAGUAAGAGGUGAGCAGAAGCGGCCCAAUUUAGCUAUAUGCCAUGCAUGCGAUCAAAAUUGAACGGUUAAAUGGCAGCCACUAUGUUACAUCUUGUGUAAGUAACAAACCGCCUACAUGGAUCGUUGGAUUUGGGAAUAUGAAAUCCAAUGGAUAAUAUUGAAUUUAACGAAAAAUAGAUUACAGGUUGCAUUAGUCCAAGUUUAUUUCAAACAAACCAGCUGACGAAAUAGCCGCUAAUCAAAUUUAAAAGGGAAAAAAAAAUCAAAUUAUAGGUUAUAGAUCUUAUUUCCAUCUUAAAUCUAUGUCUUUCGUGGUGACUCAAUUUGUAAACUAAUUUAUAAUUUGGAUCUAUAUUAGAGCUAAUGCUUCCCUAAAUAACUAAGAAAAUUUUCUUUUCAUUGAUUAAAUAUUUAUUUCCAAUAUCUUGUAUAUGUAGGAUUUGAAAAGAGGGAAAAUAGUAGGGAUGAUAAUGAGAGAAGAUAGAGAUGUCGAUUCUCAAAUCUAAUAUUAGUGCUAUACUUAUAUUCCUAUACUAAAUAAAUUAUCCAAGGUUCGUGCUUAACGAUACGUUGCAAAAUUUUAAUUUCUAUUUAAAGCUCUGUCUAAUAUGGCUUUUCAUAAAGCUUAGAGAAAAGUAGAGCUUUUACCAAAAAAAAAUUAAUUAGAAUUGUCAAUGAUAAAUUUUAAAAAGUACUUUAAUAAAUAAGCUUUUAAAGUUAUAUAUAUUAUGAAAGAAAUGAAAUAAGAUUAUAUAAUAAAUUAAGAGUAUCUUAGAUAAUUGAACUUUAAAAAAAAAACUCGCUAAGAGGUUUAAAAUUUGAGUUUUAAUAGUGGAUACAAAAUAGUUUAUUUAAUUCUCAAAAGCUCUACUCAAAAUAGUUUAUUUAAUUCUCAAAAAAUAUUUUUUUCAUUGAGUAAAUAAUACUAAACAUGCACUAAAGUGUUAGGACCAGAAGUUGUACAAAAAAUGAUGGCUACAACUUAAAUUAUGAAUGGAGUAAUCGGAGAAUAUUGAAACCCGUUUAAUUUGGAUCGUGCAUUGAGGGACGAAAGGAUAAAAAAUUUAAUUUUGAAAUUGCUGUUGGGUACGGUACAAUGACUUACCGUUGACAGCUUUUGCAACCGGAUUACAAUCGGUUAGUUCAAUAAUUUUAUAUCCCCAUUUAACCGCCACGUGCUGCUGUUACAUGGGUCAAUUAGUCAUGUCAUUACUGUUACUUACAGAUGCCGUAACAUAACCGGACCCUGGUUAAAUUCUGUUGUUUCCAAUAAUUUUAUGCUGUAUCUUCUUUAAUAAUAAAGAAAACUUGCAUUAAAAUUAAAAUUAGGGUAAUACCUGAUUUUAUAAAUAGAUUGCAAUGUAAUUUUGAAAAAUAAAACAAUAAUUUACAAAAUGUUUAUAACAUAAUUUUAAUUUUUUUUCAAAAAGGAAAAAGAACAAAAGUAAGAAAUAGAGAAUUAGGGCUACAAACUUUGUAUCUUAAACGGCCGUUAGAUUAUUUGUAAAUGAAAGCAACGGUCAGAUAUUGGUGGAUUAUGGAAACAUGUAAUCAUAAGGACUGUGAGUUUUUUUUGUUACAUUAAUAUAUUACAAUCAAAUUCUAUUAGUAUUUACAACUAGAAUUUCAUUUGACUAUCUUUGAUAAUUCUAAACUAGUACAACCCAAAUUCUUAUUCUCACAUAAUAUCAAAGAGAGAUAUAUAUUCUUCUCCUCUAUUAAUAAAGAGACAUUUUUAUUUCCUUUUAAUAGUUAGGACUCAGAACUCAUACACGCUAGUUUGAGAGUGUUGGGUGUGACAAUGAGCCAGGAGACCAUUGACAAGUACAAAAGAGUGGUAGAAAUUAAUUCAAUCCGCUACACACGCUAUUGCAACCAAAUUGAGGGCCCAUUUUUGUUUAUUUGGUUGAAAAAUAGUUUGCAUAAUUAAUUCAAACCGCUACACACGCUAUUGCAACCAAAUUGAGGGCCCAUUUUUGUUUAUUUCGUUGAAAAGCAGUUUGCACAAUUAAUUCAAACCGCUACACACGCUAUUGCAUCUUUUGAAAAAGAAAAACAGAAUAGUUUUCUAAAAUUAAUUCCGAGAAGAAGAUUAACUAAUAAUGAUGUUAGAAAUUUUAAUAUUUGAGUCUUAAUAUUAUGUAUCACUCAUUUAUUAAAUAAUAGAUUUCAUAAUUUAUAAAAUUACUUAACCACUUGAUAAAUGUUAUAUUUGUUGGGACUAAAUUGGGACUUAAAUGUUGGAAUAUCUAGUAUUGCAUUAAAAAAUAAAUAAAAACAUAACAAUUUAUCUUCACUUGACUAAUUGUUUUUACAUCACAACUAACCUUAAUUAUUUUGAAAGUUACAGUAUUAUUAAAUUGUCCUAACUGGUUAUCAAAAGUUGAAGCAUGUUAAAAUAAAAAAAAUUACCAAGAAACAUGUGCUUAAACAGAGGUUAAGGCUAUGAACAAUUAAGAAGAAACUCUUAAUUUGGUCCCAGUUAGUAUAAUAAUCAUCUAUUGAGCGGUAAAAUAUUAAUUUUAAUAGUGAUGAAAUCCAAUAUAUAAUAGAUUAAUAACACACAUAAAUUAAAACUUAACUGUCAGAAAUCAUAACAUUACUCUACUCUUCAGUAGAGUUCUCUUAACAGAUUAUGUGAGAUUGCCUACAUUAAAAAUAGGUUAAGACUGCUUGUUGAAAGCAAUAUUCGCUUUUUCAUUAUAUCCAUAACUUUGUUGGGUCCCUCUAUGGUGCCGUAAUUUUUUUUACGGUAUUAAUAGUGUAACAAAUUUGUACCAUUAGAUAUAAUCAACGGUACACAUUAUUUUUAAUAAUGAAAAUAUUUAAUUAUUUCACAAAUGUUAUAACCGGUUAACAAACCGGUUGCAAAACCUAUUUUAAAUUUAAAAGGAAAGAAAAUAGAGAUAUAAUAAAACUCAAUCUCCUUCUUUAUCUCAUAAAAUUCGUAAUCUGUUUAUCUCCUUUGUUGUUGUAUUGAAAUUGGAUUCCUCAAUGCUGUCUCAGUUCACAAAUGAUUAAUCGUGUCAAAUCGUAAGCUUGUUCUUAUCGUUCAACUUUUUCUCCAUUUAUUGCCACAUUUAUUUGAUAGGUAGGCUUUUAAAUUUAUUGCUCGAUGGUGACAUUAGACAAGGAAUCACAGAUUUGAUGUUCUUUGUUGUACUAAAUUCAUAUCAAAUCUUGCUUUGAUGCUAUAAUAUAUUUAGUUACUACCUUACAUUUUCUUUUUUCACAUUUGAAAACAAAUUCUUUUUAUUCAUAGGAUUACAUAAAGUGCGCAGCCCUGAAGUUUGAACUUCAAAGGAUAAAGUUGCAUUGCAGCAUGUUAAGCAGCAAAGCUUCUUCACUGCAUUAGAUAGAAGACGGUGAAUCAAGUGCAGCCAAGACUUGGCUGAGUCAGCAAUUAACCACCAAUCGUUUAAGAAAGAGGGGCAAAGCAAGUUGAGGCCCACUUAUUAAUCUUAGCCUCUGAUUCCAUUCUCCUUUUCUCCGUCCUGAUUUGAUUAUCUCCAGCAGUGACGCUAAAGGUUAAACUGGCAUGAUCUUGCCCACAUAUAAAUGUAUUUUUUUUUUUUAGGAUCUGAAGGGGCAAAUUUUUUUUUCAAGUUUGUUAUAUGAUCUUUUGUGAAGACCUGAAGAUACGAGAGUCAGAUUAAUAAUUUUGUCUCUCUUAGGCUUUAUGCAGUGGGAAUGAACUUUCUCUCUUUUAAUUCUCUGCCAUUUUCUCAAUGAAGGCAGCAAGAGAAUAUUCAGUCUUUCAAAGUCUCAACAUUCAUAAUUUGGCCAGUCUAGUUGUUUACCUUGCAUCUGCUGGAGUAUUAUAUCGCCAAGAGAUUUUUCCGUUGCACUUUACGAAUUUAUAUUAUUUUGAGGAGGGAAUUCAGCUAACUAUUAAUAUCAUACAAUUGAAAUUUAAAUGUCGGUCUUUAAAUUCUAAAGAUUAAAGACAAGCCUAAUAUGAAAAUACAGAUGUUAAAAUCUUCAUUUUUGUUUAUUGAUACUUUAUUUGUUAGUAUCAUAAUUUUAGAGAUAUAUUUGAUGUUACAUGAUUGACUAAAUAUUAACAUUAAAAUGCAGAUGGAAAGAAAAAAUGAUGGAGGGCUCCAUAAAAGCAUAAAAAGAAACGGAGAUGGUGAAGCAAACUUUCGAAAUUGCAACCAUGAGAAGGAAUUGACAAAGCUUAAUGAAAAAAUGGAUGGGAUGACAUUUAAUCUUGUCGCUGUCAGGCAUGAACUUGGUGAGCUGAAGAGGAACAAUUUAGAUACUUAUGCAUUGGUACAAAAAAUGUAUAGUGUAGUUGAAGCACUUGAACGUAAUAUAACUCAUAUGCAAUCACACGCAUGGAAGGAAAAGAUGAACUCUUCUAGUAAAGAUGUUCAAAAUAGUAAAAAUGAAUCAAGUGGUCAAAAUUUCGUGGAAAAGGGAGAUGAGUUUGGGGUGAAGAUCGCAGAGAUUAAGGACAAGAUUGAAGACGCAUGUGAUGAAAAUUUAUCAUUGAAAAACUUAUUUGUGUAUAGGAAACAAAAAGAGAACCAAAUCUUCCACAAUGUUGUUAAAAAGGUAUGAUAAUAAACUAUUAUUCUACAUUUUUUUUUCAAAAAUAUUUGUAUAGCACAUUCAUUAAACAAAAAAAUAAUAAUAAUAAAAUUCAUGUUCUUAUGCAUGUAGGAUAAAGCCAUGGAUGCAGUUGAUUUUGUGGAUUUGGUAUCAUCGGUGGAAGUAGAUGCAAUUGAGGAUAAAAAGGUGCGUCCUCGAAAGCCCAGUCGUUAUAAAAAAUCUCCUUAUGAAAAUUUUACAAAAAAAAAAGGCUAUCGCAAGAAGGAGUUCGAUUUAUCCAAACAUGGAGCUUCUUUUUCGGAGGAAGAAUGGUAUAUUUUACAGUAUAUUUUUCAUGAACAACUAGAUAAAAGGUAUGGAACUAUUUAAAUAUAAUCAUAUUUUAUAUGUUUGUAUUUUGAUGUUAUUAUUUGUUUUAAUUAACUAUUAAUGUGAGUGUAUAACUUAUGCAGAGAGAAAAUUGUAAUGACAAAACGACAUAUUGUUACCCGCUUCUUAAUGUCUUCUUUAGCUCCUAAUGUUUGGAUAUUUGAUGAGGUAUAUUGUGUUAGUGUGUGUGUCUAAUAUUCAGAGCGUAAUAAGAUUAUAUGUAUUUAAUUUAUAAUUUAUUUUUCAUUUGGUAGUGCAUGUUUUAAUAAUAAUGUUGUGAUGAUUUUAUUCAUAGAUCAUAAGUUGCUAUGCUGAGUAUUUAACUAGAAAGGAGAGUUUGAAGCAAGAUAAUGAGACUCGAAAUUGGUUUUUACCAACUCUUUUUGGGGUAUGUUAUAAAUUUUUGUUGUUACAAAUAUAUAAUAUGCUUUUACAAAAAAAUUAGAAUUUUUUUAAAAUUAUAUCUUACCAUCUUCAUAUAAUUAUUAAUUUAUGAAUGUUGUAGCAAAUAGUGGCGAAUGUGUCAGGUGUUUCAACUAUUGAUAGAUCAGAGAUUGAAAUUUCGGUUCGUAAACAUAACAUUUGUGAAUUUUACAUGGGUGCACUCAAAAGAUGUGAAAAGGUCAGGAAUAUUAUCAUAUGUUCAAAAAACAAAAAAAUUUAUUUACUCAAAUAUCAUAUGUUUUAUUAUUAUCAUUUGAAGGGAGUAAUGAUUAAUACAAAAUUAGUGUAUUGUUGCACAGAUAUAUGUUCCUCUUUAUGACGGGCUUGCAAAACAUUGGUAUCUUGUAAUAAUGAAUAUAAAAGAUAAGACUGCUGAGAUUUGGGAUUCUUUGCCUAAUUCUGAAAUAGAACCAAAUCAUCGUCAAGAAAUCGUUAAGCAAAAUGUAAGUUCAAAUUUUUUAUUUGUUUAUAUGAAAUUACUAGAUGCAAUAUAUAUUAACUAUCAUUAUUAUUAUGCAGUACAUGCAUUGGNNNNNNNNNNNNNNNNNNNNNNNNNNNNNNNNNNNNNNNNNNNNNNNNNNNNNNNNNNNNNNNNNNNNNNNNNNNNNNNNNNNNNNNNNNNNNNNNNNNNCCUAGUCUUGCUUCGUGAUAUAGCCUUUAACUUUCCUUCUGAUUGGGUAUUUCGUUGACUUUGACAUUUUAUAUCCAAAUAAUGUGCCAAUUCAACCAAAUGGAAAUGAUUGUGGCUUGUAUGUGAUGAAGUUUAUGGAGACUCCAUGUGAGAUGUUAUUCCCAACUUAUAAGGUAACUUAAUCAUACAAUUUAUAUUUCUUAGUUUGCACAAUACUUUAAUCAAUAUUAAAUUGUUAUUAAUUCUAUUAUAUGCAGUAUGAAUCGGAUGAAGAAAGAUUUCGUCUUGCGCUACUCCUUGUAAAUGGUGAUGCAAAUGAAGUAAGAGAUAGUGUUAUACAAAAAGCACUAUCAUUCCGUGGUCCUAAGACGAAUGUUAUUGCAACUAGUAAAGUUAGAACUAAAGUUGCUUCUCAAAAAAAACAUCGUUCAAUUAAUAAAGUUAGAACUGUAAUUGGUACUGGAGAAUAUUUGAAGAAACCAGGAAGAAAAUCCAAUUGAUCUGCCUAGUAGAGGUUUAAUAAAUUUGGUAUUGGACGUAAUUUGUAUUUUGUCACUUUUAAUUUUUUUGUCCCCUCAAUUGAAUUUUAUAUUCAAUGUAAAGUUUUUAUUUGGAUUACUUAAUUUUCUUUUUUAGUUUUUAAGUUUUUGGAUUACUCUUUAUGAAAAUUUUGUGUCUUGUUACUUUCAAUUUUUUUUGUCCCCUUUAAUUGACCUUUGUAUUCGAUGUAAAGUUUUUAUUUGGAUUACUCAUUAAGUUUUGUUAGCUUUUGAGUUUAUGGUCUCUUCCAAUUAAAAACUUUCAAAAAAUAAUAGCCUGCUUUUUUUUUUUUUGUGUGUGUUUUAAGUUCAGCCUACAAGUGAAUGACUGUAAGUCGUUAACUAAAAAUCUAAAAAUGUCAAAUGUCAAAUAUUCUUCCGCUUCUCAUCACCUUCUUUUCCAACCUAUAAUAUGCCAAACAAAAAUGCAUCAAUAAAAAUAAAUUUAGAUAACAGCUAAAAUAUUCAACCUUUGUAAGAAUUAUCCUAAUAUAAAUAUACCUCAUUAAGUACUGGACAUUUGCGUCUAUUGUGUCCAGGUAAUUUGCAAUACCCACAUUUUUUCAAAUUGACGCCUUUAUUAAAUCUUGCACUAGGAGCACCUUUCGUCUUCACACUUAAUGGAUCUUUUAUAAUAGCAACAUUUCUCUUCUCACUGGACCAUCUACCUCUUUUCUCUUCAAAAUUCCCACUCAACUCUAACAUUUCAGACUUAAGUUGUGUGAUAAGACCCUUUAAUUUCAAGUAUCCAGCAUCUGUCAUCGAGGCAUAGAAAAAUGUGUCUAGUUACAGAAGAAAUUUACAGAAUCAAAUUUUGACUUCGCUUCUUAAAGAUAUUCACGAUUUAGUGCACAAAGGUCACAACCGUCUAGAAACCACACAAGAUCCGAUGUUUCUGAAUUAACUGAUAUCAAUUAACAAGGAAUAAAAUUAAAAACUAUAUAUCUAUAGAAAGAUUUAUUUUUCAGGAGUUCAAAUAAUUUUACGGUUUUCUAUUUGAAGUUUUCUACAUGAAGAUAUGGCUUAAAGAAUGCUGACUGCUCAAAAUCACUGAAGCAACCAAGUCUAUGAUUAUCAGAAAACUUGCAUGAUUAAACUGUACUGAUCUAGAAUAUAUGAGAUUGCAUACUAUAUAUUUUUUGAUAGAUAAAUAUGUCUAGUUACAGAAGAAAUUUACAGAAUCAAUUUUCGACUUCGCUUCUUAAAGAUAUUCACGAUUUAGUGCACAAAGGUCACAACCGUCUAGAAACCACACAAGAUCCGAUGUUUCUGAAUUAACUGAUAUCAAUUAACAAGGAAUAAAAUUACAAACUAUAUAUCUAUAGAAAGAUUUAUUUUUCAGGAGUUCAAAUAAUUUUACGGUUUUCUAUUUGAAGUUGUCUACAUGAUGGCUGAUGUGUUUCAGCAGAUAUUACAAGAGGAAAUAUAUCUUCUCCCAGUGAUGGUUUUGAGAGAUCGUCCAACUCAUAGAAGCCUAAGUCGAUGCCUGUUCCCGAAGGCUGACGAAACUUCUGACCCAAUCCUUUCUUAAAGGGAAUUUUUGCCGGCAUAUAAGCUUCAGGAAACAGUGGAACAAACUUACAGUUGGGCUCUUCCUUGGCAAAGUAGAAAACAGUGAUGCUGCAGAUAAGAAAAGAAAAUAAAGAGAUAUGGCUUAAAGAAUGCUGACUGCUCAGAAUCACCAAAGCAACCAAGCCUCUGAUUAUCAGCCAAAUUCCAUGAUUUAACUGUAUUGAUCUAGAAUAUAUGACAUUACAUAAUAUAUAUGUUUGGAUAGAUGAAUGUAUCUAGUUGUGGAAGAAAUUUACAGAAUCAAGAUAGACUAAUAAUAACUUAAUAUUAACAAAAUUUUUAUUGUACAUGUUAUUUUAUCAAUUAUAUUUAUUGUAACACUUUAUUUGUAUCAUAUGAUUUUUAUUUGUUAUUUUUAUCCUAUUACUAUAUUUAUAUUUAUUUAGAUUGAUUUAGUCAAAAGGUAUAAUAGUCAUUUAGGAAAUUAAGAGGGUCUAUGUGACUAUUUAUGAAACUAAAGGAACAUGUAUAAUUAUUUUAGCAAAUCUUAGGGGUGUGGGUGGUUUUUUCCGAAAUUAAUAUUGAUUUAAAAUUAAAAAAUUAAUAUUUACCUGUAACCUGUAAGUUACCUGCUCUAUUUUAAUUAAUUAUCUAAUUAUCUAUUAUAUUAAAUGAAUGAUUCAGAUUAAAACUCUUAUAUCUAAGGGUCCACAUUAGUUCCACUAUCAAUACUGUAAAAAUAAAUACAGCAUCAUAAAGAAAUCCAACUUUGAAUUGAUAAAGUUGUAUUCAACAGCUCUUGAAAAGACUAAGCUGGUCUUCUUUGCAUUUGAUCACUGGUAUUUCAGUUAAGUUUGUCGUUUACUUAAAUUUUUCUUGCUUUCAAUUUCCACUGUUGUUUUUUUUUUAAUAAAAUAAUUUGUUUAACUAGUCAUAGAAAUAAGAGAGAAAAUGGGCCAUUUCUUGACUCAAAGUCAAUUAUAAUUAUCAAAACUUGAGCGGACAUUGCAUGCCUAAAUUCCACGCACCCUAAAACGGUUUGAUUUGCUUUCACGCGUUCAUGAUUUUGCAUGAAAGAGAGUGCCUCUCGUCUCUUUCCGGACAGUGACUACAGUCAUGGAAAAAUUAUGUUAACGUGACGAAUACAAAACGUUAUUACAUACAAGAAUAAGUUUUUGGACCCGAGACUUGAGGGAGGUUCUAUCUAAUUCUAAAGAUUGUAACCAAAGCAUUAUCCCCAAUUUUUUUAAGUUAAAUAAAAUAAAAUUUAUGCUUAAGUAUAAAUAAUUUUUUAAAGUUAAAUAUAAAAUAAAAUUCAUGAACUUCCAAGAAAGAAAGAAGACCCUUCACCUUCUUCGUGACAACAAAUGAUGUUGAUAUGACAAAUACAAGCGCUAGUACAGGGAACAGCAUAAGACCGAGACUUGAUAAAUAUUAAAUAUAUAAAAUAAGUGGAGCAAACGAACAGAAUAAUAGAUUUUUAUAAUAUUCUUCAUAAAAAUCCAAGUUUUGAGCUGGCCCAUAAGCUUAUCUAGUGAAGUCUGGGUAUCCGCGUUGCCCAAGGUUCCGUUUGAAUUCAGGCUGUGCUGAUAUUUAUGACAUCCGACGGAGAGGAAAUAUUUUCAGUUGACUAAAUUAAAUAAAAGUAUAUUAUAAUCAUAUUAUAUAUUAGCAACAAAAAUAAAAAGAAAUGAAGAAAAACGCAUGCAAGACUUAGAGAAGUCAAUUAAAAGAUGGGAGUAUCAUCAGUUCAAUUGGUUAUAAAUAGCGUAGAGCCAUCCUCUCGUUGUUGCAGAAGAGAGACAGAAAGAGUGUGUGUAGGUGAUUAUAAUUAAGAAGAUAUAAUGUGUGGUUCAAAAAGAGUGUGGGUGAGUGAGUUAAUACUCAUAUUAUUAGUAGUAAAAGGGUGGUGGAGUGAGGGAUGUUUGGAGCAAGAGAGGUCUGCUCUCCUCCAACUCAGACAUUUCUUCAAUGAUGAUCAACGUCUUCAAAACUGGGUAGACGAUGAGAAUAAUUUAGAUUGUUGUCAGUGGGAAGGGAUUGAGUGCAACAACACCACUGGCAGUGUGAUUAAAUUAGAUCUAGCACAAACUCGAAAAUGGGAAUCAGCGAAGUGGUAUAUGAAUGCCUCUCUGUUUACUCCCUUUCAACAAUUAGAGUCUCUUGAUCUAAUUGGGAACAAUAUAGCUGAUUGUGUUAAAAACGAAGGUCAUUAAUUUACUCUAUUUUAAUUCUUCCUCCUCGUAAUUUCUUACAUCUAUCUGAUCCCUUUUGGCUUUUGUUUAAUUUGUACGUGAUACAAUAAAAUUAUUUUUUUUCAGGUUUGGAGAGGUUAUCAAGGUUGAACAACUUGAAGUUUCUUUUUUUAGAUGAUAACUACUUCAACAACAGCAUCUUUUCAUCUCUAGGUGGUCUUUCAUCACUCAGACACUUAUCAUUGGCUGUUAAUAGAUUGAAUGGAAGUGAUGAUAUUAAAGGUAAGUAAGCUUCAUCCCUUCUCCCGUGUCCCAUCUUUGUGGAUCUUAUUUCAUCGACCAGCUGGAAGUAUUGAUACGAGAUCUAGCUAGACUCUUGCUAGUUUAAGCUUCAAGGCUUUGAAUAUUAUAAAAAUAGGUUUAAGGAAUUAUCAAUAUAUGCAAUUUUCUAUGCUUCUCAUAAUCAGACACAAUUCAAUCUAAUUAUUUCGUAUGUCCUCUCUUCAAAAGUAAAGAAUUGUACACUAAACGGAAAUCGACAUUGUAGCUUUUUAUUUUUUCUAAUGCUCUUUCUUUGUUAACGAGUUUAUAUCCUGAGAGUGCAUUGGAUUCAAAAAAAAAAAAGUUUUGAUGUUCAAGGUAAGCCAUAAUAACAUGCAUCUUAUUUAUCUGUCUAUAUCUAAAUUUGUGCACUGAAUUUAGUAUUUUAGUUAGUGUGAAGGGAUCAGAUAUUGGCUUCCAUAAACCAACUUGUAUUUACUUAAUUAAUUAAUUAACACCAUUUAGUAUUUAACAAAUUAAAAUUUCGUGUUUAAUUUGUCUUAUUUUUUAUUUUUUGAAGCAAGAAUAAGGUAUAGCAGUAGGUAAAGUUGAAAUACAUAUUUAUUCCUUACAAAUUUAAAUUCGUUUUCAGCCAAAUAUACCUACUUAAAACCACUCAAUCAUGCCAUUGGCAACAGUUUUUUAGGUUUUUCUAGUUAACCGUGUACUUUUUUGCUUAUUAAUAAAAUUCUUUUGUGCUGAGAUUUAAAAUAAAGAAGGAGAAAAUAAGUUAUUUAAUUAACCUUGUUUUAAGUGUUGGCAUAAAUGCAGGACUGAAUUCCUUGAGUAACUUGGAGGAGCUGGACAUGACAGGCAAUGCAAUCGAAAAUCUUGUGGUUCCUAAAGGUAUACAAAAUGUUCAAAUAUUAAUAAUUUGGAGGACAGUUUAAUUGAUUUGAUUAGGGAAUGCCCAAAUGACACUUACCCAAAAUAAUUUAAUCCAAAAUUGUAUCCCAAACAGAUUUCAUAGGUUUGAGGAAGUUGAAUACCCUUAAUUUAGGGGGAAGCGAAAUUCGAAUGAUAGAUGGAAGCAAGGUGUUGCAAUCAAUAGGAUCACUACCGUCCCUCAAAACACUUUGCCUUUCAUAUACUAAUUUUACGGGAACAGUAGUUAAUCAAGGUAAGUAAAUCUUUUAUGUCGAAAAUAAUUGAAUUAAUAUAUAUAGCUAAAAUUUAUUGUUUCUACUUCUUUCUACAUAGAAUUGCACAAUUUCACCAACUUGGAAGAAUUGAUAUUGGGCAAAUCUGAUCUCCAUGUAAGCCAGCUUCUGCCAAGCAUCGCAUCAUUCACUUCGUUAAAGUAUUUGUCAAUGGGAGGUUGUAUACUCACAGGUGCCGUACAUGGUCAAGGUAAAUUAUGGGUAUCUGAAGCUUUUAAAUUUUUUCUUUUAAAUUUUUUAUAUUUUCACUGUCCAAUGGUUCUACCUUCUCUAAAUUGUAGGAUUCUUGAUUAAGGUUAAUGAAAUUUUUGUUCUGUUAUGUUAAGAAUAUUUCGAUCGCUUAGAAGAGUAAAGAAAAAUAAGUAAAUUAACCCAAAAAAAAAAGAAAAGAACAGGACCGGAUUAUCCUUAUUCCCUUGCAUUAUGUGAUCAAUAUCAAAAUUAUAACCAUUUCUUGUUUAUUGCUUGUAGAUUUUCGUAAAUUCAAGAAUUUGGAAAAUCUGGACAUGAAUCUGGUGUAUGUUGACGUCAACACCAGUUUUCUUCAAAUUGUCGGUGAAUCGAUGCCUUCUCUCAAGUUUUUAUCACUGACAGAUUCAAUUCUUAAUAAAAACACCAUUCUUGAUCAAGGUUAAUUAAUGAUUCUCCUUCUCCCUCUCUCGCAUCAUAACUAAAUUUAAUUGAGAAUAUCUAUAAUGCGAGCUAUUUAUAAACUUAAUGAAAGAUGAUAAGGAGCCAUAAUAAUGACAAAAAUAACUGUAAAAUAGUGCACUGUUGUAGUGUUGAUUGAAAAAUAAUGCUAAUUUUUUACUUAACAUUAUAACGCUGUAUAAUUUUACAGUUAUUUUGUUGCCAUUACGUCAGAUUAUACUGUUCAACUAUCAGUGAUCAAACUUAAUUUUUAAUGUGUACUUGAAAGAUAUGUAAUUAUUUAUCUAUGUGUACUGAAGGAUGAAUUAUAUAUUUUUCAGGACUUUGUCAGUUAGUGCAUCUGCAAGAGUUACACAUCGGCGGUAAUGAUUUGAGAGGUAGCUUGCCAUGGUGCUUGGCAAACAUGACAUCCCUUCAAGUGUUAGAUGCCUCUUCUAAUCAACUUACUGGAAACAUCUCCCCAGGCCUUUGUGAGUUGGUGUUUCUAAGAGAGUUAUCCAUUCAUAACAAUGAUUUAAGAGGUAGCUUGCCUUUGUGCAUGGCAAAUUUGACUUCCCUUCGAGUAUUAGAUGUCUCUUACAAUCAACUUACUGAAAACAUCUCAUCUUCCCUCAUGCAUCUAAUAUCUAUGGAAGAGCUCAUAAUUUCAAAUAAUCACUUCUUCCAAAUCCCUAUUUCACUUGAACCACUUUUCAAUCUCUCAAAACUCAAGACUUUCGAUGGUGAAAUAUGCGCAAAAACUGAGUCACAUUAUAAUUCUUUGACCCCAAAAUUCCAACUGACUUCUAUCUCACUAUCUGGUUACAUAGAUGGUGGCACAUUUCCCAAAUUCUUGUACCAUCAGCAUGACUUGAAGAAUGCUGAUCUCUCACACCUUAACUUGAGUGGAAAAUUUCCAAAUUGGUUGCUAGAAAACAAUACGAACUUAGAGACGCUUCUUCUUGCCAACAACUCUCUUUUUGGAUCAUUUCGGAUGCCAAUUCAUUCCCACCAGAAAUUGGCAAUAUUGAAUGUCUCCAACAAUUUCUUUCAAGGCCAUAUUCCGGUGGAAAUCGGAACAUAUCUGCCAGGUUUAACGGAUUUAAACUUAUCUAGAAAUGCUUUCAACAGUAGCAUUCCCUCUUCAUUUGCUGAUAUGAAAAUGUUGAAAAGGUUGGACAUAUCCUACAAUCAGUUGACUGGUGAAAUCCCUGAGCGCAUGGCCACGGGUUGCUUCUCAUUGGAAAUUCUUGCAUUGUCAAACAACAGUUUGCAAGGUCAUAUAUUCUCUAAAAAAUUUAACUUGACAAAUUUGAUGAGGUUGCAGUUGGAUGGUAAUAAAUUCAUUGGAGAGAUCCCAGAAAGCUUAUCUAAGUGCUAUUUGUUGGCAGGAUUGUAUCUGAGUGAUAAUCAUCUCUCUGGUGAGAUUCCAAGAUGGUUGGGUAAUUUGUCAAUUUUAGAAGAUAUUAUAAUGCCCAAUAACAAUCUGGAAGGACCAAUUCCAAUCGAGUUCUGUCAGCUUUAUUUUCUGACGAUUUUAGACCUUUCAAACAAUGCUAUUUUUGGAACCUUACCAUCUUGUUUUAGUCCAGCAUCUAUUGAACAAGUUCAUUUGUCAAAAAACAGGAUAGAAGGACGGUUGGAAAGUAUAAUCCAUGACAGCCCCAAUUUGGUGACAUUAGAUCUCAGUUAUAAUCGCUUACACGGAAGUAUUCCAAAUCGGAUUGAAAGACUACCUAAGUUAAACUACAUUCUUUUGGCUAAUAAUUAUAUUGAAGGCGAAAUACCAGUUCAAUUAUGCCAUUUGAAGGAAGUGCAGUUGAUUGAUCUUUCUCAUAAUAAUCUAUCUGGUCAUAUUCCUCCUUGCUUGGUUAACACUUCACUUAGUGAAGGUCAUCAUGAGGCAGUAGCUCCAACUUCUAGUUUGUUGGGUCAACUGCCUGCCUCACCUCCAUCUGAAUCUGAGGCUGCAAGUGGACCUCCGAUGGGAAAGGAAGAAACUGUACAGUUCACAACAAAGAAUAUGUCCUACUAUUAUCAAGGAAGAAUUUUGACGAGUAUGUCUGGGAUUGAUCUUUCUUGUAACAAACUGACAGGUGAGAUUCCUACUCAAAUUGGAUAUCUUACUAGGAUUCAUGCACUAAAUCUAUCUCAUAACAAUUUGACGGGCACAAUCCCGACAACAUUUUCAAACCUGAAGCAAAUCGAAAGCUUGGACCUCUCCUACAACCUACUGCAUGGGAAAAUCCCUUCUCAGCUCACUGUGCUAACUACAUUGGCGGUCUUCAGAGUAGCAUACAAUAACUUAUCAGGCAAAAUCCCAGAUAGAGUUGCACAAUUUUCAACAUUUGAGGAAGAUAGCUAUGAGGGGAAUCCUUUUCUUUGUGGAUGGCCACUGUCUAAAAGUUGCAAUGAUAGUGGAUUAUCAGCAGUGACACCAGAAGCUUACACUGAAAAUGAAGAAGGUGAUAGUUUAAUUGACAUGGACAGUUUCUUGAUCACUUUUACAGUAUCUUAUGGAAUUGUGAUAUUAGGAAUUAUCGGAGUUUUGUACGUAAACCCCUAUUGGCGGCGAAGAUGGUUUUACCUUGUUGAAGUGUGUAUGACCUCUUGCUACUAUUUUGUGGCAGACAAUCUUGUUCCUAGAAGAUUCUAUGGUGGAUGGAUGUAAUUUCAUUUACUUUACAACUUAUAUGUAAUUUUUAAAGAAUUUUCUUUUGCAUGCAUGGAAUAGCAACUCAAUAAAAGUAUUUGAUGCAAAUUGUCCAAGAACAACUUAGUAAUUUCAUUGCUACUAUUCGGUUGUAUAUAUACAGUUAAUGAAAUUUUUAAUCAUUCGCAGUAGGAAUUUCUUUAGAUGGCGGCCAAAACUAACAGAUUUGGGGCUCUACUUCUACACAUCAUAACAGGCAAAAGGUCUCUCUUUUACACGAUCUGAAUCAUUCAAUAGGUGUCUACUUCUACACAUCAUAACAGGCAAAAGGUCUCUACUUCUACGCCCCCUGGAGUUCUCCAUUAAACUUGACGGUUGAGAUUUCAGGUCCAGAUGAAAGUUAAAUGCAGGCGACGAGACUACACUUUAAGUAAACUGGGACAAACUUAAAAUAAAAAAAACUAUAGUCCAGGGUGAGAGUGAUGGGUAGCUCAACUUAUGGAGGAUAACUAGGACUUGGAAUAACUAUCAGAUUUGCAACUCUUGUAAUAUAUAGUGGGCAUUCAGGUAGCAAUUAUCGCCUUGGGAGUUACCGUAAUCGAUUCAUUUCCUCCUUCAUUUCUGAUGGUAACCCAGCUCUAUACAAGAACAAUAAGAGAAGGUUCCUUUAAGAAAUUUCACAACCCACAAUUUUUUUUUUUCCUUUUUGCCCUGUUCCUCACAAUAAACACACCUAACACACCAAGCCGUGCCCAAAAUAAUCCUAUUUUAUUCAUGUCAUGAAUCCAAAAACUAUCCCAGCUCACUUUGUUUAACCAGCAUAACUAAAUUGUGGGUAUAAAUGAACAGACUUUCGAAGCCUGUAACUUAUAAUAAGCUCAAACCCAAAAAUGACAUUUAAAUCCUGCAAGUGUUUUUCAUCAUCCCUAACAAAAAGAAACAAGAAUAAUUAUAUACCAAUAAUUUUUCCAUAAAAAAUACUGAUUUGAGUUGAAGCACUAUACAAACUGGGUUUUAUUACACUUGCAGAAAGCUACACGGUAGACAAAAUCUAGCAGCUACAUAUUGGUAUCACUUUCAGCUGGUCAUGAAUGGUGUGCAUUCAGCAGUGCACAAUAGACCAUGUCUAUGAAUUGAUUGUCCUAUUACAUAUAAAAGCUGGUCAGAUAUACAAGGAAAAAAAUAAUAAUUGAAAAUGCAUCACAAAAAAUAAGUGUUUCGCAUUAGUGUUUGCACUCUUAAGCAUGGCAAAGUGGUGCAGGGUUCAUGAUUUUGAAGACAAUGAUAAGUGAAAAAUAGUUCAAUCCAUUGAUGAACAUAAAUUUAUUUACAUGUCAAUUUAGAUACCAUCAAAAAGUAAACAGUAAUUCACAGUCACUUAAAAUAGUUGAUAAAAUGCGUGCCAUGAAUGCAUUUUUGUACAUAAGAAAUCCAAAGAGUAUUUCUGACAAUACAAAUAUGCUAGCUUUAAGUCUGCUGUCAAUAUGCAAUUAAGAAGAUUAUACCAGCUGCAUGAUAAAGUUCCCCUAAUCUUAAUAACAAUAAACAUGAACAUGUCAGAUGCAAUUCUAGCUUCGACCAUUUGCAUAACCAGAAAUCCUAACCUGAACAAGCACCAGAAGUGCCUCUCGGACUUUCUCCUUGCUGAUAAAUGGUCCACUGUUCCAAGUAAGAGCAGGAGUAAGAGAUGGUGGAGGGAUUGGUGGUGGAAACGGUUGAAGCACUGGGGCACCAUAUGGGCGUUGUAGACUCAAGGGAGUAUUAAGUGGCAGAGCUGUUGGUGUAGAUGAAGAGACAGGCUGCAUCAUCCCCGCAGAGGAGGAUGGAGGAGGAACAAAGAAUAAGGAAGGCUUUACAAGGUUAGGGGUAGGUGCUGACAGAGGUGGAGAUGGUAUUGCAAGGUUGGCACGAUAGGAGAAGCAACACUGGCGGGAUGAGAAGGUAAAGAAAUAGUUGUAUUGGACUGGUAAGGUUGUGCAGAGAUUGCUGCAUUAGAAGUAUUCCCCACAGUCAAAGCUGUCUGCAAUGAUAAGGACAGAUGUCAUAUACAAGGACAUCAUAGAAGUUGAACCUCACACAAAAAUGAAGUGAUAACAUGUGAAAAUAGUAUAUGACUUGCUGCAUUUUUGUGGUAAUGUUGCAUACUUAUGUAGAAACAUAUUAUUUCAAAGAAAACAUACACUGAAGAAGUUCACAAAAGCAGGAUCUUCAGGAACAUCAACAGCAUUUGAGGGAGUUGACUCUAGAGGACCAUCCAUAACUGCCAUAGUUGGAACAGCUUCCAGUUCCUCAAACUCACUGCAGUUUAACAUAAAAGGAACUUGAUGACCAAUUUAAGUAAUAAUUAGAUGAUAUACGAGGUUAGGGAAAAUGAUGAGUGGACCCUUAUGGAAGGUGAUUUCACCUUAGCUAAACAGGAAAAUAAAAAGAAAUCAAAGCUGAAUCCUCGAGUGCAAUGCAAAGAAUUUUUUCUCUCUUCUCUAACUCCUCUUAUUCAAAAUUGCUCAUCAUUGUGCUGUUCUUCGAGAUUUCGCUAGAGUAGAGAAAGCUAUUCUCCCGUUAAGUGCAGAGGAAAGAGAAGGGCAAAGGCCUGGUAUGAUGCUAUUCUAUAAGAAGUGAGAAAGUGAAGGGCUAAAAUAUUUUGCAAUUUGGAGGUGGUGUUUUUCAGUGUGUGUGCUUCUGAAUUUAUUACCUCUUUAGGAUCCAUAGAAAUUGCCUCUUGUUCAGCAUGCACUGUGCCUACGAGUAAGGCGAGCUUGCAUGGUAUCUAUUGUCUAUUUAUUUGGAUAUUCAAACAGGACUACCAGCAACCAAACACAAAUCCCCAAACAAAACACUCUUUCAAGUGCAAGGAAAGAGUAACUUGGGCAUAUUUAUGGUUCAAGCACUACCAUAACUAAGAAUGUGAUGCUGUCCACAAACACUAUAUCAGUGCCUUUUGAACUACAUCACAUGCUCGAAGACUUUUUUUUUAGUCAUACAUAAAUUAGCUAUAAAAUUAAGACUAUUAUACAACUAAAAAGAAAGAAAAAUUGUUUGCUACUACAUAUCAAAACUGGUAAUAGCAAUGUAAGAUGGCAGACUUCUUACUUAAACAGAUGAGAGGCUGCAAAUAAAAAAUUUGUGCAAAUAAAAUAUAUGAUAAAGAGCAUAAUACUUUCUUGGGGGCUAAAAAUAAUAUACAACUUGUGAAAUAUAAAUUGAGCUACCAUUACCUUUUAGAUGUAGCAACUUUCGACUUUUGAGGCACCUUGGAAUAUGCAUUCAGAAUCCUGCAUUUGGAAGCCAAAUAAAUAAUGUCAACAACAAUUUUACAAUAGAAAAAUUAAAAAUUGAUAAAUGGCAGUUGUAAUUUAUGUAUGUGUAAAGAUAGCAUCACAUCCAGGGUCCUCCCAUAAACAUGCUUGUAACAAGAAUUAGUUUGCCUCAACUGCUAGCAACUAUACAAUAGUAAAAAUCACUCUUAUGAACUCAACAAUACUAGGCACCAAUAAGAGUAUGAUACCGCCAUUCUAAAUGGAAGAGAAUACAACUGUUUUACAACUAUGUCACAUCAGGAGAUAUGCUAGGAGGAUUAAUCCAGAUACCAUCCAACCCAAUUUGGAAAACUCGAGUCAGAAACCAGGAGCUGUAACCAAACCUUACAAUCUUGAAGGAAGAAGGAGACUUGGGGCAUUUUUCCAGAUAGGUGACUUACAAGAUCUCCUGCCAAGAAAAUAUCUAUUGCUUUGAACCUCCAUUGAAAUUUCUUUUCCCUUUUUCUUGUUUUGACUUGGAACUUUCCAGCAUCAUCUAUUUGAUCUUUUUUAAAGCUAAAAUAGCAAUCUAUGGGUUGUCAACAUCUUAUCCCCCCCCCCCCCCCCCUCGGGGGGGCCCCCAAAAAAAAAAAACCAAUGAGUUGUCAAUAAAUAGCACCUACUCAACUUAUGUUCUCCAAUGGAUGACAAUGUGCAAAUCGACCUAGCAGCCACAUUUUUCCCCCCUUUCAACCACCAUUAGGCAACUUUUCUAACCUUUCUUCAUUGCCCACGUCUACAGAACUAUCAUAUAAAGACUACAUUAUUAUUGGGAUAGAGAAUAAAAUACAGACUAUAUUAUUAUUAUAUCUAAUUUUAUGAAUUAACUAGUGCAAGACUUAUUUAGUGUCAAAUCAAGAACUAAUUAGAAAAGACAACUCAUGAUAAUACAGACCUUAAAAGGCAAUAGCUAGCAACACCCCAUAUACUCCUAUUUUAGCCUUCAAUAUCCUGGUAAAAACACAAUUAAGUCUUGCAAAAGAACAUUCACAAGUAAAUUCAACAUUAAUUAAGAUUAAGUAUCUACUGCACCUUCAAUCAAUGACUGGGUGAAUAGCAUGGUCAACCAUCCAGUUCCUGUAGCCCUCCUUGUACCUAUGUUAGUUACAUUUUACAUAUUAAGCCACGAAAAUGAAGGGUCACAGCCUGGUAAAGAAAGCCAUUAAUUAAUAGUUUUUGUUUAAAAAGUUCUCGUUUAGAUCUUUCCUAUUCAAUGAAUCAACGUAAUCCAUGGAGAACUCUUCCAUUUCAAGCAUUGUUUGAAGAUAAUUGGAAAGCCUAAAGAUAGUAUACAAGGACCAAGAUAUCAAUUAGGUCAAAUAGUGAAUGUCAAAUAUAAAAAAUAAAUAAAAGAAGUUGUACAUGAUCAUUUACUAUCAAGUUCUGUAAAAUUGAAAAUACCAUUAUCCCUGUAGAGAUUCUCAAACAACUCUUUAGCAAAUUAUAAAAUAGUUAAAAAAAGAACGAAAGUUUAAAAAAAAAUGUACAACAGCCAUAUCAGGAGAUGUUUUUCUUCUCAAUCUCAAUAUUUUCUAGCCGUAAAACAAUUGAAAAGCUUAACACCAAGUGAAUUAUUAAGAAUUCAUCAUUUAAAUUCCCAAAUCGCAAAAUGUUGGUGCAACUAGGAAAGUGCAAAUGCAAUCACUUUACUAACACAAGAAACAUCAAUAGUGAGAAGCCCACUUUGUAUCAAAUUUGAAACAGAUAGAUAGAGGUCAAAAAAAUUAUAAAGAAACUCAAUUAAAAGCCUUUCAAACAGCUUUUGCAUGCAACAAGAACAAAUCAAAGGCGAUGUGAAUGUAUUCAAAGACUAAUUUACAAUCAUCUACAGGACAUAAAUAUCUUGGAUAACUACUCUCUAUACCUUACUGUCCCACUGAAAAUCAUCAAAUCCCUCCAAACAAAAAUGACAAAAUGGAUAAGAAUUGUCUGGUUAAACUUCAAUAACUUAGCAGCCACAGCAAAAACUUAUGUAGGCACGCAAGCCACUCAAAAUAGUCAUAUUGUUUGCUUUCCAAACAAAAGCCACUUUGUAAUGAAUAUUCAUAAAUUGCUACUACCAUGUUUGUUAAAGCACGUGAAAACCACCAUAACUAACUAAAUGUAACUGAUGAUCAUCAUCAAGUUCAUGGAAUCACAUAUCUGACAGUAUUAAUUAGUGCAAAUGGCAUGCUUCUUAAAACUCCGUAUUUCUCACAUGGGCGCCAUUCCAAUCAACCAAUGAUUCUGAUCUAGUCGGCAUAUUCAACCCACGAGCGAGUAAUACCUCCUAUUGCUUCUUUACAUUUCUCAACGAAAUUCCACAUUCUAACCAUACUUCUGAACUUGUAGCUCCCAUAGACUAAUACAAUAAAAAGAUUUCUUCCCACACCACCUCAGCCCCCACUCCUGAAAAACCAAUUUAAAUUCUCAUUGGCUGUACAACCUAUAGUCCAUACCAAAUUGAAAAAUUUACAAAUAUAGAACCUCAAAGAAUCUUCUUGCAUUCCAUUUUUUACGGCAAGAAAUUUGACUUUUACCACAUGCAAGUCAACAAAUAAAAAAAUCAUGUCUUUGUGAGAUGCACAUUUUCAGACGAAUCUGAAGAGCAAUGAAACCGUAAAAACCGAAUAUGAGAACACCGAGGACUCCAGAUAUCACCUAUAGAAUCUUCGGUCCACACUUGCAUGAUGAAAAUGAUGAAAAAAAAUUGAAGGCUUCGUCACCAGCUCCCCAGGUUGUUUUGUUCUCCUAUCUCCUAAACAUAAAGGAAAUGCAACCUGUUCUUUUUUCCAAUCUUAAGGGGCACAGAACGACUCUGGUAUAAAAUAGUCAGUUUCUAUACAAAAAUAACUCCUUUGCACUUGGCAUUCCACAUCUCGAAAUAAAAAGCAUGCAAGGAGGAGAAUAUAAUAGCAUUAAACAAGUUUUAUUAACCAAACUUCAAAGAUGCCAGGCAAGGCAAAAAAGAAAUCUGUACAAGCCAGAUCCCAAGAAUAAUAAUUCCAAUAUACAAUUCACAAAAACAAUAACUAAAAACAUGUUCAUGAGGCCUCAGCAGAAGCAACAUGUAAUAACCAUACUCUAUUAUUUGAAACACAUUUCCAAGUUUGGUUAAGAUUCUAAACUAUUCUCUAUGUGUCAAUUAUUAACAUGUAAAACAAAAUAAUAUACACUUAAACUACUACAGUAGUAAAACCAGUAAAACAACAAUACCUGCUAAAAAGAUUUGCUACCUCUUCACAUUCACGAGCAUUGUAGAACCAAAUCCCAUUUACUUCUUGGGAUGCAUUCCGAUAUAACAAAUACGGAACCUGAACUUCAAACUCAAAAUCUCCCAAAGGAUUUUCCACUAAAUUAUCUGCACAUAUCCAAGAUAUUGAAGCUUAUCAGUGCAAAAACAUAUGCAAAAAGACAUGAAGGUUAGGAGACAUAACUAAAACUUAGCAACAACUGAAAAGCACAACAAGAAAUGAAAUAUAACAUGAGUUGUAAACAAGAUAGACACGCGGUAUCUAAAUAAUUGUACCAACCCCCUCUCCUGAUUGUCAUAAAACAGCCAAUAUUUAACGCUAGACAACAACAUUGCAAAUACUCUAGCCUCUAUAUUAUUGGCAUAUAAAUAUUUUCGGUUAGGUACAUUAUAUUCUUCGUUCUAAAACCUCAAUUAUUAGCUAGUAGCCUAGUACUGUGAUAAAAUGAUUCAUCACUGAAAUUAAAACUAGUUCACGUACAAAUAAUCAAAACUGAAAUAGAAGCAACGAUAAACCAACCUGUAUUACGUCGAUUCAUCACAACAAACUGAAAUCGAGGCUGUGUGUUCUUGAAAAUUGAAAAAAUAAUAAUUUCACCAACUUCAUAUGUAAUACAAUCUCCAAAAAACCGAAUAUCAAAUGAAAAAAUGGAAAGCAUAAGAGAGAAAAGAAUCUAAUUUUAUUGACCUUUUGACGACGAAGAGAGAUCCUUCAACAUCCUUAUGACUCCAUUGGCUGAGGUCGAUGUUGAACUCGUAGAAGGUGACAUGAGCGGCCGUGAUGAGGAUCUCCUCAAUGAAUGGAUCGAUUCGCUGAAGAACUGUCAGGUUUAGGAGUUUUGUGCUCUGCUGGUCCAGAUUAGCCAUUAAUUUUCCGUUCUGCGACAUUUUUCAUAGUCCUUUUGGGCUCUGCCUCGAGCACAAGCGCCAUGGUUUUUCUGUGAGCUCUCUCUUUUGUAAAUAAAGUGUUUGAUGAGAUAGCCGAGAGAGAGUGAAAGAGUUGAGACUCGAGAUUGAUCUUGCUUUAACUUCUUUCAAACAUUUGGGAAAUAGCAUUUAUUUCUUUCAAAUUCUCUACUUUUUUUUCCUUUAUGUUAUUUAGACCCCAAAAUUAGAUUUAUUAUAAUCAUAUUUUACCCGUACACUAUUAAUCCCUUUUAUUUUAAAUUGUCAAUAUUAAUGUUUCAAUCAUAACUAAUGUGAUAACUCAUCGGUAACUGUAACAUUAACUUAAUUAUUAAUGUUUAUCAUGAAAUGAUGAGAUUAUUAUUCAAAACUUAGUAAACAUCAAUGACUAAUAUAAUAUGACAAUUACAGCUGAAUAUUAGUACAAUAAUUAGGAUUCCUAAAGUUAGUGAAUGUAUUAUAAUAUAUGUGUGUUACACUAUUUUAUGUCUCUCAAAUUCAAUUAAGUAAUUUCAGAGACCUAACCUUUUAUUACAUUAAAUUAAGAAUGUAUACAUGAAUGAAAGAUGUGCAGUUUUUGUUCUAUUUUUCACUAUUAUUUGCCAUUCAUCUACGUACGUCACUUGAUUUUUUGUGAUUAAUAUGCUUAAAUGGAUCUCUUUGAUAUAAAUAAAAUAAACGAAAAGUCUAAGAGAAAAAAAAAAUGAGGACCGAAAUUAUUACACCUACAACAAAUUUGCCCAGAGAGCAAUAAAUCAAACUUGCUUAGGAAGUUCAACAAUGAUUAGUUAAUAACUAAAAGAGCCUUCACCUAACAUGUUAAAGCUUCCGUCAAGCACAAACCCAUUGAAAGCUGUUUAGGUCCGUUUUAGAUCAUCGGAAAUUUGACAAAAUCAUAAAAACCCUCAUCUUAGAAAUUCCAAGCAUCAGGCAAUAGUCCUACUUUAUUGAUAUUGAGAGUUACACAAUAAAAGUUUCGUACAAAUUUUGCAAACGAAAAGCACAUAAUACACUUAACUAGGAGGGAAAAUUAAAGUGUAUAUAUUACAAACUGCUAACAAUAUACAGUAGUAAAAAUCACUCUUAUGAACUCACAAAUACUAGGCACCAAUAAGAGUGUGAUGCAGCCAUUCUAAAUGAAAGAGAAUACAAUUGUUUUACAACUAUGUCACAUCAGGAGAUAUGUUAGCAGGAUUAAUCCAGAUACCUUCGAACCCAAUUAACCAACUCGAGUCAGAAAUAUCUAUUGCUUUGAACCUCCAUUGAAAUAUCUUUUUCCCUUUUUCUUGUUUUGACUUGGAACUUUCCAGCAUCAUCUAUUUGAUCUUUUUUGAAGGUAAAAUAGCAAUCUAUAGGUUGCCAACAUGUUAUUCUGCCAAACCCCACCCCACCCCCUCCCGGGGGACAACAAAUAAUGCCUACUCAAAUUAUGUUUUCCAAUGGACGACAAUAUGCAAAUCGACCUAGUAGCCACAUUUUUCCCCCUUUCAACCACCGUUAGGCAACUUUUCUAACCUUCCUUCAUUGCCCACACCUACAGAACUAUAAUAAAAAGACUACAUUAUUAUUGGGGUAGAGAAAAUAUGCAGACUAUAUUAUUAUUACAUCACAUUUUACUAAUUAACUAGUGCACGACUUAUUUAGUGUCAAAUCAAGAACUAAUUAGAAAAGACAACUCUUGAUAAUACAGACCUUAACAAGCAAUAGCUAACAACAUCCCAUAUACUCUUAUUUUAGCCUUCACUAUCCUAGUAAAAACACAAAUAAGUCUUGCAAACGAACUUUUAUAAGUAAAUUCAACAUUAAUUAAGAUUAGGUAUCUACUGCACCUUCAAUCAAUGACUGGGUGAAUAGCAUGGUCAACCAUCUAGUUCCUGUAGCCUUCCAUGUACCUAUGUUAGUUACAUUUUAUAUAUUAAGCCAUGAAAAUGAAGAACUCUUCCAUUUCAAACAGUGUUAGAAGAUAUUUGCAAAGCCUAAAGAUAACAUACGAGGACCAAGAUAUACACAGAUAGUUUCUUUACGGGACUAAAGAGCUUUUUUAGAUGUUAAAACUGUUUCAAACUGUUUUUCUUGUUUGGUUUAACUAAGGAAGAGCUUGUGGAAGAUUAAAAAUGAUGUUUCCUGUUCUCUGUAGGAAGCUUUUAGGAGAUUUUUUGGGUUUUUUUGAAAGGUUGAAUUGUCAAAAAUACCUUGAUGUUAUUGUUUGCUAAAAGAUGUUAUGGACAACUAAACAACCAACAACAUUUUGUUAAAAGCUCUACUCGUGUAGGAUCUACUUAAAGAAUCUAUACCAAACAGAUUCUUAGACUAAUAACUCGAUCUUAAGUUUGUAAAAUUGGGCUCAGAAUCUCCACUAAGAACCCCGCUUCGGUGAGAAAGCCCAAGCCUGUUACUUUGUAUAAGCUUAUUCUGUAUGUUUGAUUGCAGGAACUGGCCGAUCAUACCGACGAGGUGAGUGUGCAACAUGAGGUGCUUGACGGGAUGUUUACUUUCUAUGAUACAACUAAAGCUAGCCUCAACAUAUAUCAGGUGCCUGCUUGUUUUUACCUUCUAGAUACUAAUAUUGUUUAGACGUGUAAUCUCUCUCUCCAUUGAACGCUAGACGGCUCGUCUCAAGCCUUCUACGUACAUCAGAGUCCUUCUUUAGCUUUUUAUGUAUAAAGUUUUGAUCUUUUUCCUUCAUUUGCUUGAAGCUCAUUACUGCAGAUUUUUUUUACAGGUUGCUAGUGUAACAUUCGACUUGCUGUUGCUUCUAGUGUUGGGAUCGUAUUUAAUUGUGCUUUUCAGCUUUCUUGUCACAACAACUUGGGUAUUACUCUUUCUCCAUAUCAAGCUUGAAGUUCUAAAUUUCAGUUUUAUCUUGUAUUUGAUGUUUUACAGGUUGCUGGAAAUGUGUUUGGUUAAUCAGAAAGAGAGCAAGAAAAUGAAAGAAAUCUAUUUCACUUUUUAUUUAUCAGCAUGAUUACAUUCACAAUGAAUCUAAGCUGCUAUUUAUACUUAAAUGACUACACACGAGAAUCUUCUUGCUAGAUAUUUCUAGAAACUCUACACGCACACUCGCACUGAGCUAGUGGUUACUAAAACCGUUACAACGAUAUUGCCAGCUCAGCAUAACCAACUUAUAACUAACACACUCAGCUGCAGGGGAAACCAUCAAGCUUACUGUGCAUCCUCUGUAAUCAAGCUUCUUUAAGCAUGCUCUGCAGAUCAUACGUCUGAAUUAUCGAAACAAGAUGAAUUAUUUUUUGUUUAUUUCAGCAGGCGAUCUAUGAGCGGAAUUUCUUGCAACAAAAGAUGUGUGUCCACCGGCUUGUAUUCAAUUCGCGAUGGAAUAAGAUCCCUUCAGCUUAUGAGAACUUCAAAUCAACUUAGGUCAUAUUUACACAAGGGCGCACAUGAUAUUAAUCUAAUGGCAAUUAUAUCAUCUAAAAUCCAAAACGAAGAGUCUCCCAUUUUCUUGUUCUCUACUCUGUUCAUAUUAUCAUAAAUUGACGAUUGCAAGGCAGCCGCAGAAAGGGAAUCGGCUUUUGGAAUAGGCGGCAUUUUUUUCAUAUGAAACAUAAAACAAUUUAAUAUCAAUUUUCUUCAGGAGACUGAGCAGAUUGUCUCGCAAGUGGCGCAUCGGUAUUGUAACGUCUGCUGGGUCUUACAUUAUCCACAAAAAUAACUCGUCCAUCUAGUAACUGCAAGUACAUACUUUGAGAUGCUUAAACUCAACAAUAUAAGCAUGGUAAAUUAGAGAAAAAUGAUGCAACUUUACCUUCCCAUUCAUGUCUGCCAAGGCUUUUUGGGCUUCCUCUUCUGUACUGAAAGUCACAUACCCGUAACCUUUUGAUCUAUUCUUACCUUUAUCCAUUAUUAUUGUAGCUGCAAAAAGAAAAGAAUCGGAUAUUAGAAAAUAGUGAAGAGGGAACAGGGGUUGAGACUUAAAAUAGAAAUAGACCAAAUCCUCAGUGACUUGGCCAAACUGUGAAAAAGCAUCAGCUAACAUCUCUUUAGUGGUUGAGAAAGAUACGCCUGCAAAGGAUGCCAGUUAAUUUUAUCAUAAUUAGAUGGUAAGAUUGCAAAUUCUGCAGCCAAAGGUAGUACGGAACUGAAUGAAGGAAAUCAAAUAUGAAUAUGUUUUCAAUCUCAAAAUAUUAAGAGUUACAAGUUCAAGGGAAUCAGAUGAUGGCAUGGUUGAAUUUUAUAAAUAUUUGAUAUUUUGGACCGAACAGGGCAAACAGAUGGAUCCAGAUAAUCAAGAAAAACAUCAAUUCCAUGCAACCAAAUUAGUGUGGGCAAUGCAAUUGAGCAACACUAUAAAAUUAUUCAAAGAAAUCUCUAGGUCAGUAUCCAAAUAUAUGGCUCCGUCCGUUCCACCACCACAACCAAAAAAAUCAGAUCCCCCCAUUUGGAUUCGAUUGAUUAAUUUGAGCAUAUAAAAUCGGGUUUUAAACUUCCCUAAUCAAAAUUUAUAUUCCACAGAAUCAGUUCCUUUAACAUGAUGCAUGACAUAAUAUUUUGUUUGCAAAAUAAAGAAGAAAGAUGACAUAAUAGAAACACUCACAGAGAGAGAAUACCUUCGACGAAAAGCUUCGAAGUGAAUCCUCUGUAAAAUACGAGUUGAGCUGCUGAAUUUUUCAAGUUUGAAUGAGAGACUGCGCCGUUUCUGAAAAUGUUUUUUUCUCAUUAGCGCCGCCAUUUUUGUAAUAGAGGGUAAAGAAAUAAGUAACAAAGUAAGAGGUGAGCAGAAGCGGCCCAAUUUAGUUAUAUGCCAUGUAUGCGAUCAAAAUUGAAUGGUUAAAUGGCAGCCACUGUGUUACAUCUUGUGUACGUAACAAACCGCCUACAUGGGAUCAUUGGAUUCGGGAAUAUGAAAUCCAAUGGAUAAUAUUGAAUUUAACGAAAAAUAGAUUACAGGUUGCAUUAGUCCAAGUUUAUUUCAAACAAACCAGCUGAUGAAAUAGCCGCUAAUCAAAUUUAAAAGGGAAAAAAAAAUCAAAUUAUAGGUUAUAGAUCUUAUUUCCAUCUUAAAUCUGUCUUUCAUGGUGACUCAAUGUGUAUACUAAUUUAUAAUUUGGAUCUAUAUUAGAGCUAAUGCUUCCCUAAAUAUCUAAUGAAAAUUUUCUUUUCAUUUAAUAAUAAAGAAAACUUGCAUUAAAACUAAAAGUACGGUAAUACCUGAUUUAUAAAUAGAUUGCAAUGUAAUUUUGAUAAAUAAAACAAUAAUUUAUGAAAUGGUUAUAACAUAAUUUUAAUUUUUUUUUCAAAAAGGAAAAACAACAAAAGUAAGAAAUAGAGAAUGAGGGCUACAAACUUUGUAUCUUAAACGGCCGUUAGAUUAUUUGUAAAUGAAAGCAACGGUGAGAUAUUGGUGGCUUAUGGAAACAGGUAAUCAUAAGGACUAUGAGUUUUUUUUUUUUUGUUGUUGUUACAUUGAUAUAUUACAAUCAUGAUUCUAUUAAUAUUUACAAUCAGAAUUUUAUCUGACUAUCUUUCAUAAUUCUAAACUAGUACAGCCUAAAUUCCUAUUCUCAUAUAAUAUCAAAGAGAGAUAUAUAUUAUUUUCCUCUAUUAACGAAGAGAUAUUUUUACUUCUAUCAAAUUUAACUAGAACGAGAAUUAAGUCAUUUUCAAUAGUCAGGACUCAGAACUCAUACACGCUAGUUUGAAAGUGUGGGGUGUGACAAUGAGCCAAGAGACCAUUGACAAGUACAAAAGAGUAGUUGCAAUUAAUUCAAACCGCUACACACGCUAUUGCAACCAAAUCGAGGGCCCUUUUUUGUUUGUUUCAUUGAAAAGUAGUUUGCACAAUUAAUUCAAACCGCUACACACACUAUUGCAUCUUUUGAAAAAGAAAAAUGGAAUAGUUUUCCAAGAUUAAUUCAGAGAAUAAGAUUUAAUAAUAAUGAUGUUAGAAAUCUUGAUAUUUGAAUCUUAAUAUUAUGUAUCAUUGAUUUAUUAAAUAAUAGAUUUCAUAGUUUCUAAAAGUAUUUAACCACUUGAUAAAUGUUAUAUUUGUUGGGACUAAAUUAGGACUUAAAUGUUGGAAUAUCUAACAUUGCAUAAAUAAAUAAAAACUUAAUAAUUUAUCUUCACACGACUAAUUAUUUUUACAUCACAACUAACCUUAAUUAUUUUUAAAGUAACAAUAUUAUUAAAUUGCGCUGACUAGUUAUCAAAAGAUGAAAGCAUGUUAAAAUAAGAAAGUACUAAGAAACAUGUGCUUAAACAAAGGUUAAGGCUACGAACAAUUAAGAAGAAACAACUUACAAUCAAAGGUUAAGAUUAUGAACAAUUUAAGGAAGGUAUUGAGCAGAGAAAGGGACGGAAUGGUUUUCUGAAUUGCCGGUGACAAGAAUGUUUGUGUUGUGAAAAGAAAUCCAAUGGUUUGUAAAUGGGUUGAAUUUUUCGCUCGCUUCAAUGACUUGCUUAUGCCCAAUAAAUUACUUUGCACAAUAGUAUUUGGGAUCCUAACAAUCAACUCUUAAUUUGGUCCCAAUAUAUUACUUUAUGAAUGCUUGUGUUGUUUUUUUUUAUAUAAAAUAAUUUAUUUAACUAAUCAUAGAAAUAAGAGAGAAAAGGGGGCAUUUGUUGACUCAAAGUCAAUUACAAAUACAUAACUCUUUCACGCGUUCAUGAAUUUCCAUGAAAGAGAGUGCCUCUCGUCUCUUUCCGGACAGUGACUCCAAUUAUGUUAACGUGACAAAUACAUAACGCUAUUACAUACAAGAAUAAGUUUUUGGAGCCGAGACUUGAGGGAGGUUCUAUCUAAUUCUAAAGGUUGUAACCAAAUCAUUAUCCCCAAUUUUUUUCAGUUAAAUAAAAUAAAAUUUAUGCUUAAGUAUAAAUAAUUUUUUUAAGUUAAAUAUAAAAUAAAAUUCAUGAACUUCCUAGAAAGAAAGAAAACCCUUCACCUUCUUCGUGACAACAAAUGAUGUUGAUAUGACAAAUACAAGCGCUAUUACAGGGAACAGCAUAAGACCGAGACUUGAUAAAUAUUAAAUAUAUAUUAUAAGUGGAGCAAACGAACAGAAUAAUAGAUAUUUUAUAAUACUCUUCAUAAAAAUCCAAGUUUUGAGCUGGCCUAUAAGCUUAUCUAGUGAAGUCUGGGUAUCCGCGUUGCCCAAGGUUCCGUUUGAAUCCAGGCCGUGUAGAUGUUUAAGACAUCGCAUAUGGACGGAGUGGAAAUAUUUUCAGUUGACUGAAUUAAAUAAAAAUAUAUUACAAUCAUAUUAUAUAUUAGCAGCAAAAAUAAAAAGAAAUGAAGAAAAACGCAUGCAAGACUUAGACAAGUCAAUUAAAAGCUGGGAGUAUCAUCAGUUCAAUUGAUUAUAAAUAGCGUAGAGCCAUCCUCUCGUUGUUGCAGAACUGAAGCAAAGAGACUCAGAAAGAGUGUGUGUAGGUGAUUAUAAUUAAGAAGAUAUAAUGUGUGGUUCAAAAAGAGUGUGGGUGAGUGAGUUAAUUUUCAUAUUAUUAGUAGUAAAAGGGUGGUGGAGUGAGGGAUGUUUGGAGCAAGAGAGGUCUGCUCUCCUCCAACUCAAACAUUUCUUCAAUGAUGAUCACUGUCUUCAAAACUGGGUAGACGAUGAGAAUUAUUCAGAUUGUUGUCAGUGGGAAGGGGUUGAGUGCAACGACACCACUGGCAGAGUGAUUGAAUUAGAUCUAGCACUAACUCGGAAUUGGGAAUCAGCAGAGUGGUAUAUGAAUGCCUCUCUGUUUACUCCCUUUCAACAAUUAGAGUCUCUUGAUUUAAGUUUGAACAAUAUAGCCGGUUGUGUUGAAAAUGAAGGUCCUUAAUUUACUCUAUUUUAAUUUUUCCUCCUCGUAAUUUCUUACAUCUAUCUGAUCCCUUUUGGCUUUUGUGUUAAUUUGCACGUGAUACAAUAAAAUUAUUUUUUAUUUUUUAUUUUUUAUUUUUUGGCAGGUCUGGAUAAGUUAUCAAGGUUGAACAACUUGAAGUUUCUUCAUUUAGACAUUAACCACUUCAACAACAGCAUCUUUUCGUCUCUAGGUGGUCUUUCAUCACUCAGAAACUUAUCAUUGGCUGGUAAUGAAUUGGAUGGAAGUAUUGAUAUUAAAAGUAAGUACGCUUCAACCCUUCUCCCCUGUCCCAUCUUUUGUGGAUCUUAUUUCACUGAGCAGCUGGAAGUAUUGAUACGAGAUCUAGCUAGACUCUUGUGAGUUUAGGCUUCAAGGCUUUGAAUAUUAUAAAAAUAGGAUUAAGAAAUUAUCAAUACAUAAUGUUAUUACAUACAAUAAUAGUUCUAAAGAUUGUAACAAAAUCAUUAUCCCCAAUUUUUUUAGUUAAAUAAAAUAAAAUUCAUGCUUAAGUAUAAAUAAUAUUUUGGACAUUCUUGAUAUUUGUCCUUUUAAGAUAAACAGCAACCCAAUUAUCUAUUUGUUUGUCUGUUUAUUUUUUUUAAUAACAGUUUGUUAGCAUAAAUAUUUACCUGUGAAGUCGAGGAGGAGAAAAUGUUAGAAAAAAUAAAAAGAAAAAAAAAUUAAGGGGGAUAGAAUCAGAUUUUCUUUUUUGAGCAAAGAACAUACGUAAAAAGAUAUUAAAUCUAUUAAGUCUAAUUGUCUAUAACGGCAAAUUGCAUAACGAAUAAUUUAUCAGUGUAAAAUAAAUUUUAUUAGAUUCUGAUUAUUUGUUUGAUUUCUUUUCUCUCUGGACUCAACUUAUAUUGUUUAUUUGAUUUGAUUUUAUUAUUUUUUAAAGAAACUUAUUGUUUAUCAAUACUGAAUGGCUUAAGAUUGAUGUCUUGAUAAUAGAUGGGGCAAUAUUGCAUUUUUAAUGCAGUAGACUUUGAAGUUAUCAUUGACAAGCUUAGAUGAAUUACUAGGACCAUAAUACAAAUGUCACAGGCAUCUAAGGCACUUACCAAGUUUUGAGUACAUUCCUGUUCCUAUCUAAUAGUUUUUAAUUUCUUUAAUUUAAGACCCCAUUCAUUAAUAUUUUCUUUAUUGUGAAGUUAAUUUUUUUAUUUGAAAUUAAUUUUUUUUAAAAAAAAAUUUGUUGACUUAUAGUUUACCUUUGUGUUAAAUGUUGGCAAAAUUAUUUUGUCCAAACCAUUGUUUUUGUCCUGAACGUCCAACUAAAAACUGAAUCAAGGGUUAAGUUGUAAGGUUUCAGUUCGUCCGUUAUAUUAAUUUAUUGUUUUAAUAUUAUGCAGUACAAAUAGGUGUAUAAGUCCAUCAUUUAAAUACAAAAUGAAACCACAUCAAUAUAGAAAUUAAAAGAAAAUGAAUUCUCACAACCAUACGGUGAGAUUCAAACUCUCUAUCUCCGAGGAUUUCUUAAAGUUAUUCUUAAAUUAUACUUAAAUGGUUAAAUUUAAUAAAUAAAGGUUUAAUUCUUUUCUCGCACAUUGUAGAAGCAAAUUUUCUCCUCUGUUGAAAAUUCUAAAUAUUUUUUUAAAUUAGGUUUCAACUAUGACAUAUCAGGAGAGAUUUGAUACAUUUCUAAUGCAACUGAUAUAACAACACAACUUUGUGAUUUUUACUAUUCAGGAGAAAAAGAACACAACCUGUAUAACCCAACCGUUUAUAUACAAACAUCGAAUCGCUUUUUAAAAUUAAAUUGGGAAAAUUGGGGAUAUAAUAGUUUUUCAUAUAUAUACAUUUUUUCCUUACAAAUUUAAAUUCAUGGUUGUCAUGAGCUAAAUAUACCUGCUUAAAGCCACUCAGUCGAACCCUUUGAGAGCUGCUUUAAAUUUUUCGGAUUAGCCAUAUUCUUUUCACUGAGAUUUAACAUAAAAAAAAGGAGAAAAUAAGUUAUUUAAUUAACUCUAUUUUAAGUGUUGGCAUAAAUACAGGACUCGAUUCCUUGAGUAACUUGGAGAUGCUGGACAUGAGCGACAAUGCAAUCGACAAUCUAGUGGUUCCUAAAGGUAUACAAAAUGUUCAAAUAUUAAUAAUUUGGAGGACAAUUUAAUUGAUUUGAUAAGGGAAUGCCCAAUGACACUUACCCAAAAUAAUUUAAUCCGAAAUUGUAUCUCAAAUAGAUUACAGAGGUUUGAGGAAGUUGAAUACCCCUUUUUUGGGGGGGGGGGGGGGGGGAGAGGGAGGCAGUGAUAUAUGGAAGCAAGGUGUUGCAAUCAAUAAAAAAAAUUUGUUGGUCAAUAUUCAAGGACUCAUCCAAAGUAAUCGUUAAAGUCUAGAGGUCUGCCCUCCACCAACUCAAACAUUUCUUCAAUGAUGAUCAACGUCUUCAAAACUAGGUAGACGCGGGAGAUGAUGAGAAUAAUUUAGAUUGUUGUCAGUGGGAAGGGAUUGAGUGCAACAACACCACUGGCAGAGUGAUUAAAUUAGAUCUAGCACAAACUCGAAAAUGGGAAUCAGCGAAGUGGUAUAUGAAUGCCUCUCUGUUUACUCCCUUUCAACAAUUAGAGUCUCUUGAUCUAAUUGGGAACAAUAUAGCUGAUUGUGUUAAAAACGAAGGUCAUUAAUUUACUCUAUUUUAAUUCUUCCUCCUCGUAAUUUCUUACAUCUAUCUGAUCCCUUUUGGCUUUUGUUUAAUUUGUACGUGAUACAAUAAAAUUAUUUUUUUUCAGGUCUGGAGAGGUUAUCAAAGUUGAACAACUUGAAGUUUCUUGAUUUAGGCUUUAACCACUUCAACAACAGCAUCUUUUCAUCCCUAGGUGGUCUUUCAUCACUCAGACAAUUAUCAUUGGCUGCUAAUCGAUUGAAUGGAAGUAUUGAUAUUAAAGGUAAGCAAGCUUCAUCCUUUCUUCCGUGUCCCAUCUUUGUGGAUCUUAUUUCAUCAACCAGCUGGAAGUAUUGAUACGAGAUCUAGCUAGACUCUUGCUAGUGCAAGCUUCAAGGCUUUGAAUAUUAUAAAAAUAGGUUUAAGAAAUUAUCAAUAUAUGCAAUUUUCUAUGCUUCUCAUAAUCAGACACAAUUCAAUCUAAUUAUUUCGUUUGUCCUGUCUUCAAAAGUAAAGAAUUGUACACUAAACGGAAAUCGACAUCGUAGCUUUUUAUUUUUUCUAAUGCUCUUUCUUUGUUAACGAGUUUAUAUCCUGAGAGUGGAUUGGAUUAAAAAAAAAAAAAAAGUUUUGAUGUUCAAGGUAAGCCAUAAUAACAUGCAUCUUAUUUAUCUGCCUAUAUCUAAAUUUGUGCACUGAAUUUAGUAUUUUGGUUAGUGUGAAGGGAUCAGAUAUUGGCUUCCAUAAACCAACUUGUAUUUACUUAAUUAAUUAAUUAACACCAUUUAGUAUUUAACAAAUUAAAAUUUCGUGUUUAAUUUGUCUUUUUUUUUUUUUUUUGAAACAAGAAUAAGGUAUAGCAGUAGGUAAAGUUGAAAUAAAUUUUUAUUCCUUACAAAUUUAAAUUCGCUGUUGUCAGCCAAAUAUACCUACUUAAAACCACUCAAUCAGGCCCUUGGCAACUGUUUUUUUAAGGUUUUUCUGGUUAGCCGUAUUCUUUUCUUAUUAAUAAAAUUCUUUUCGCUGAGAUUUAAGAUAAAAAUAAAAAAGAGAAAAUAAGUUAUUUAAUUAACUUUGUUUUAAGUGUUGGAAUAAAUACAGGACUGGAAUCCUUGAGUAACUUAGAGGAGCUGGACAUGAGCGGCAAUGCAAUCGACAAUCUAGUGGUUCCUAAAGGUAUACAAAAUGUUCAAAUAUUAAUAAUUUGGAGGACAGUUUAAUUGAUUUGAUUAGGGAAUGCCCAAUGACACUUACCCAAAAUAAUUUAAUCUGAAAUUGUAUCUCAAAUAGAUUACAGUGGUUUGAGGAAGUUGAAUACCCUUUAUUUGGGGGGGGGGGGGGGGGAGAGGGAGGCAGUGAUAUAUGGAAGCAAGGUGUUGCAAUCAAUAAAAAAAAUUUGUUGGUCAAUAUUCAAGGACUCAUCCAAAGUAAUCGUUAAAGUCUAGAGGUCUGCUCUCCACCAACUCAAACAUUUCUUCAAUGACGAUCAACGUCUUCAAAACUAGGUAGACGCGGGAGAUGAUGAGAAUAAUUUAGAUUGUUGUCAGUGGGAAGGGAUUGAGUGCAACAACACCACUGGCAGAGUGAUUAAAUUAGAUCUAGCACAAACUCGAAAAUGGGAAUCAGCGAAGUGGUAUAUGAAUGCCUCUCUGUUUACUCCCUUUCAACAAUUAGAGUCUCUUGAUCUAAUUGGGAACAAUAUAGCUGAUUGUGUUAAAAACGAAGGUCAUUAAUUUACUCUAUUUUAAUUCUUCCUCCUCGUAAUUUCUUACAUCUAUCUGAUCCCUUUUGGCUUUUGUUUAAUUUGUACGUGAUACAAUAAAAUUAUUUUUUUUCAGGUCUGGAGAGGUUAUCAAAGUUGAACAACUUGAAGUUUCUUGAUUUAGGCUUUAACCACUUCAACAACAGCAUCUUUUCAUCCCUAGGUGGUCUUUCAUCACUCAGACAAUUAUCAUUGGCUGCUAAUCGAUUGAAUGGAAGUAUUGAUAUUAAAGGUAAGCAAGCUUCAUCCUUUCUCCCGUGUCCCAUCUUUGUGGAUCUUAUUUUUAUUUAAAUUGUCUUUAAUUUGUCUUAUUUUUUAUUUUUUGAAGCAAGAAUAAGGUAUAGCAGUAGGUAAAGUUGAAAUACAUAUUUAUUCCUUACAAAUUUAAAUUCGUUGUCAGCCAAAUAUACCUACUUAAAACCACUCAAACAUGCCAUUGGCAGCAGUUUUUUAGGUUUUUCUAGUUAACCGUGUACUUUUUUGCUUAUUAAUAAAAUUCUUUUGUGCCGAGAUUUAAAAUAAAGAAGGAGAAAAUAAGUUAUUUAAUUAACUUUGUUUUAAGUGUUGGAAUAAAUACAGGACUGGAAUCCUUGAGUAACUUAGAGGAGCUGGACAUGAGCGGCAAUGCAAUCGACAAUCUAGUGGUUCCUAAAGGUAUACAAAAUGUUCAAAUAUUAAUAAUUUGGGGGACAGUUUAAUUGAUUUGAUUAGGGAAUGCCCAAUGACACUUACCCAAAAUAAUUUAAUCCAAAAUUGUAUCCCAAACAGAUUUCAUAGGUUUGAGGAAGUUGAAUACCCUUAAUUUAGGGGGAAGCGAAAUUCGAAUGAUAGAUGGAAGCAAGGUGUUGCAAUCAACAGGAUCACUACCGUCCCUCAAAACACUUUGCCUUUCGUAUACUAAUUUUACGGGAACAGUAGUUAAUCAAGGUAAGUAAAUCUUUUAUGUCGAAAAUAAUUGAAUUAAUAUAUAUAGCUAAAAUUUAUUGUUUCUACUUCUUUCUAAAUAGAAUUGCACAAUUUCACCAACUUGGAAGAAUUGAUAUUGUUCGAGUCUGAUCUCCAUGUAAGCCAGCUUCUGCAAAGCAUUGCAUUAUUCACUUCGUUAAAGUAUUUGUCAAUGCGAGUUUGUACACUUACAGGUGCCGUACAUGGUCAAGGUAAAUUACGGGUAUCUGAAGCUUUUAUGAUAUUAAUUCGAUAAUAAUUCUUUCUUUUCAAGUUAAUUUUUUCCCCUAAAAUAAGAUUUUUUUUCUUUUAAAUUUUAUAUAUUUUCAUUGUCCAAUAGUUCUAGCUUCUCUUAAUUGCAGGAUUCUUGAUUAAGGUUAAUGAAAUUUUAGUUCUGUUAUGUUAAGAAUAUUUCGAUCGCUUAGAAGAGUAAAGAAAAAUAAGUAAAUUAACCAAAAAAAAAAAAGAAAAGGACCGGAUUAUCCUUAUUCCCUUGCAUUAUGUGAUCAAUAUCAAAAUUAUAACCAUUUCUUGUUUAUUGCUUGUAGAUUUUCAUAAAUUCAAGAAUUUGGAACAUCUGGACAUGGAUGGGGCGCAGGUUGACGUCAACACCAGUUUUCUUCAAAUUGUCGGCGAAUCGAUGCCUUCUCUUAAGUUUUUAUCACUGACAUAUUUUAGUCUUAAUAAAAACACCAUUCUUGAUCAAGAUCAAGGUUAAUUAAUGAUUCUCCUUCUCCCUCUCUCGCAUCAUAACUAAAUUUAAUUGAGAAUAUCUAUAAUGCCAGCUAUUUAUAAACUUAAUGAAUGAUGAUAAGGAGCUAUUAUAAUGACAAAAACAACUGUAAAAUAGUGCGCUGUUGUAGUGUUAAUUGAAAAAUAAUGCUAAUUUUAUAGUUAUUUUGUUGCCAUUACGUCAGAUUCCAUUGUUCAAUUAUUUAAGUUUUAUGCAAUUAUAUUUUUCAGGACUUUGUCGGUUAGUGCAUCUGCAAGAGUUAUACAUCGGCUAUAACGAUUUGAGAGGUAGCUUGCCAUGGUGCUUGGCAAACAUGACAUCCCUUCAAGUGUUAGAUGCCUCUUCUAAUCAACUUACUGGAAACAUCUCCCCAGGCCUUUGUGAGUUGGUGCUUCUGAGAGAGUUACACAUUGAUAACAAUGAUUUUGGAGGUAGCUUGCCUUUGUGCUUGGCAAAUUUGACUUCCCUUCGAGUAUUAGAUGUCUCUUACAAUCAACUUACUGAAAACAUCUCCUCAUCUCCCCUCUUGCAUCUAACAUCUAUCAAAGAGCUCAUACUUUCAAAUAAUCACUUCUUCCAAAUCCCUAUUUCACUUGAACCACUUUUCAAUCUCUCAAAACUCAAGACUUUCGAUGGUGAAAUAUGCGCAGAAACUGAGUCACAUUAUAAUUCUUUGACCCCAAAAUUCCAACUGACUUCUAUCUCACUGUCUGGUUACAUAGAUGGUGGCAUAUUUCCCAAAUUCUUGUACCAUCAGCAUGACUUGAAGAAUGCUGAUCUCUCACACCUUAACUUGAGUGGAGAAUUUCCAAAUUGGUUGCUAGAAAACAAUACAAACUUAGAGACACUUCUUCUUGCCAAUAACUCUCUUUUUGGAUCAUUUCGGAUGCCAAUUCAUUCCCACCAGAAUUUAGCAACAUUGGAUGUCUCCAACAAUUUCUUUCAAGGCCAUAUUUCGGUAGAAAUCGGAACAUAUCUGCCAGGUUUAAUGGAUUUAAACUUAUCUAGAAAUGCUUUCAACGGUAGCAUUCCCUCUUCAUUUGCUGAUAUGAAAAUGUUGGAAAGGUUGGACAUAUCUGACAAUCAGUUGACUGGUGAAAUCCCUGAGCGCAUGGCCACGGGUUGCUUCUCAUUAGAAAUUCUUGCAUUGUCAAACAAUAGUUUGCAAGGUCAUAUAUUCUCUAAAAAAUUUAACUUGACAAAUUUGAUGACGUUGCAGUUGGAUGGUAAUAAAUUCGCUGGAGAGAUCCCAGAAAGCUUAUCUAAGUGCUAUUUGUUAGAAGGAUUAUAUCUGAGUGAUAAUCAUCUCUCUGGUAAGAUUCCAAGAUGGUUGGGUAAUUUGUCAUAUUUAGAAGAUAUUAUAAUGCCCAAUAACAAUCUUGAAGGACCAAUUCCAAUCGAGUUUUGUCAGCUUGAUUCUCUGAAGAUUUUAGACCUUUCAAACAAUAGUAUUUUCGGAACCUUACCAUCUUGUUUUAGUCCAGCAUCUAUCGAACAAGUUCAUUUGUCAAAAAACAAGAUAGAAGGACGAUUGGAAAGUAUAAUCCAUGACAGCCCUUAUUUGGUGACAUUAGAUCUUAGUUAUAACAGCUUACACGGAAGUAUUCCAAAUCGGAUUGACAGACUACCUCAAUUAAACUACCUUCUUUUAGCUCAUAAUUAUAUUGAAGGCGAAAUACCAGUUCAAUUAUGCCAGUUGAAGGAAGUGCGGUUGAUUGAUCUUUCUCAUAAUAAUCUAUCUGGUCAUAUUCCUCCUUGCUUGGUUAAAACUGCACUCAGUGAGGCAGUAGCUCCAACUUCUAGUUCGUGUGGUCGAGCGUCUGGCUAUGCACAGUUCACAACUUCUCAUAAUACAAGUGGAUCUCCGAUGGGAAAGGAAGAAAUUGUACAGUUCACAACAAAGAAUAUGUCCUACUAUUAUCAAGGAAGAAUUUUGACGAGUAUGUCUGGGAUUGAUCUUUCUUGUAACAAACUGACAGGUGAGAUUCCUACUCAAAUUGGAUGUCUUACAAGGAUUCGUGCACUAAAUCUAUCUCAUAACAAUUUGACGGGCACAAUCCCGACAACAUUUUCAAACCUGAAGCAAAUUGAAAGCUUGGACCUCUCCUACAACCUGCUGCAUGGGAAAAUCCCUUCUCAGCUCACAGUGCUAAAUACAUUGGCGGUCUUCACAGUAGCAUACAAUAACUUAUCAGGCAAAAUCCCAGAUAGAGUCGCACAAUUUUCAACUUUUGAGGAAGAUAGCUAUGAGGGGAAUCCUUUUCUUUGUGGAUGGCCACUGUCUAAAAGUUGCGAUGAUAAUGGAUUAUCAGCAGUGACACCAGAAGCUGACACUGAUAAUGAAGAAGGUGAUAGUUUAAUUGACAUGGACAGUUUCCUGAUCACUUUUACAGUAUCUUAUGGAAUUGUGAUAUUAGGAAUUAUUGGAGUUUUGUACGUAAACCCCUAUUGGCGGCGAAGAUGGUUUUACCUUGUUGAAGUGUGUAUGACCUCUUGCUACUAUUUUGUGGCAGACAAUCUUCUUGUUCCUAGAAGAUUCUAUGGUGGAUGGAUGUAAUUUCAUUUACUUCACAACCCACAAUUUUUUUUUUUCCUUUUUGCCCUCUUCCUCACAAUAAACACACCUAACACACCAAGCCGUGCCCAAAAUAAUCCUAUUUUAUUCAUGUCAUGAAUCCAAAAACUAUCCCAGCUCACUUUGUUUAACCAGCAUAACUAAAUUGUGGGUAUAAAUGAACACACUUUCGAAGCCUGUAACUUAUAAUAAGCUCAAACCCAAAAAUGACAUUUAAAUCCUGCAAGUGUUUUUCAUCAUCCCGAACAAAAAGAAACAAGAAUAAUUAUAUACCAAUAAUUUUUCCAUAAAAAAUACUGAUUUGAGUUGAAACACUAUACAAACUGGGUUUUAUUACACUUGCAGAAAGCUACACGGUAGACAAAAUCUAGCAGCUACAUAUUGGUAUCACUUUCAGCUGGUCAUGAAUGGUGUGCAUUCAGCAGUGCUCAAUAGACCAUGUCUAUGAAUUGAUUGUCCUAUUACAUAUAAAAGCUGGUCAGAUAUACAAGGAAAAAAAUAAUAAUUGAAAAUGCAUCACAAAAAAUAAGUGUUUCGCAUUAGUGUUUGCACUCUAAGCAUGGCAAAGUGGUGCGGGGUUCAUGAUUUUGAAGACUGUGAUAAGUGAAAAAUAGUUCAAUCCACUGAUGAACAUAAAUUUAUUUACAUGUCAAUUUAGAUAUCAUCAAAAAGUAAACAGUAAUUCACAGUCACUUAAAAUAGUUGAUAAAAUGCGUGCCAUGAAUGCAUUUUUGUACAUAAGAAAUCCAAAGAGUAUUUCUGACAAUACAAAUAUGCUAGCUUUAAUUCUGCUGUCAAUAUGCAAUUAAGAAGAUUAUACCAGCUGCAUGAUAAAGUUCCCCUAAUCUUAAUAACAGUAAACAUGAACAUGUCAGAUGCAAUUAUAGCUUCGAGCAUUUGCAUAACCAGAAAUCCUAACCUGAACAAGCACCAGAAGUGUCUCUCGAACUUUCUCCUUGCUGAUAAAUGGUCUGCUGUUUGAAGUAAGAGCAGGAGUAAGAGAUGGUGGAGGGGUUGGCAGUGGAAAAGGUUGAAGCACUGGGGCACCAUAUGGGCGUUGCAGACUCAGGGGAGGAUUAAGUGGCGGAGCUGUUGGUGUAGAUGAAGAGACAAGCUGCAUCAUCCGUGCAUANNNNNNNNNNNNNNNNNNNNNNNNNNNNNNNNNNNNNNNNNNNNNNNNNNNNNNNNNNNNNNNNNNNNNNNNNNNNNNNNNNNNNNNNNNNNNNNNNNNNNNNNNNNNNNNNNNNNNNNNNNNNNNNNNNNNNNNNNNNNNNNNNNNNNNNNNNNNNNNNNNNNNAGAAGGUAAAGAAAUAGUUGUAUUGGACUGGUAAGGUUGUGCAGAGAUUGCUGCAUUAGAAGUAUUCCCCACAGUCAAAGCUGUCUGCAAUGAUAAGGACAGAUGUCAUAUACAAGGACUUCAUAGAAGUUGAACCUCACACAAAAAUGAAGUGAUAACAUAUGAAAAUAGUAUAUGACUUGCUGCAUUUUUGUGGUAAUGUUGCAUACUUAUGUAGAAACAUAUUAUUUCAAAGAAAACAUACACUGAAGAAGUUCACAAAAGCAGGAUCUUCAGGAACAUCAACAGCAUUUGAGGGAGUUGACUCUAGAGGACCAUCCAUAACUGCCAUAGUUGGAACAGCUUCCAGUUCCUCAAACUCACUGCAGUUUAACAUAAAAGGAACUUGAUGACCAAUUUAAGUAAUAAUUAGAUGAUAUAAGAGGUUAGGGAAAAUGAUGAGUGGACCCUUAUGGAAGAUGAUUUCACCUUAGCUAAACACGAAAAUAAAAUGAAAUCAAAGCUGAAUCCUCGAGUGCAAUGCAAAUAAUUUUUUCUCUCUCUUCUCUAACUCCUCUUAUUCGAAAUUGCUCAUCAUUGUGCAGUUCCUCGAGAUUUUGCUAGAGUAGAGAAAGCUAUUCUCCCGUUAAGUGCAGAGGAAAGAGAAGGGCAAGGGCCUGGUAUGAUGCUAUUCUAUAGGAAGUGAGCAGGUGAAGGGUUAAAAUAUUUUGCAAUUUGGAGGUGGUGUUUUUUAGUGUGUGUACUUCUGAAUUUAUUACCUCUUUAGGAUCCAUAGAAAUUGCCUCUUGUUCAGCAUGCACUGUGCCUACGAGUAAGGCGAGCUUGCAUGGUAUCUAUUGUCUAUUUACUUGGAUAUUCAAACAGGACUACCAGCAACCAAACACAAAUCCCCAAACAAAACACUCUUUCAAGUGCAAGGAAAGAGUAACUUGGGCAUAUUUAUGGUUCAAGCACUACCAUAACUAAGAAUGUGAUGCUGUCCACAAACAUAUAUCAGUGCCUUUUGAACUACAUCACAUGCUCGAAGACUUUUUUUUUAGUCAUACAUAAAUUAGCUAUAAAAUUAAGACCAUUAUACAACUAAAAAGAAAGAAAAAUUGUUUGCCACUACAUAUCAAAACUGGUAAUAGCAAUGUAAGAUGGCAGACUUCUUACUUAAACAGAUGAGAGGCUACAAAUAAAAAAUUUGUGCAAAUAAAAUAUAUGAUAAAGAGCAUAAUACCUUCUUGGGGGCUAAAAAUAAUAUACAACUUGUGAAAUAUAAAUUGAGCUACCAUUACCUUUUAGAUGUGGCAACUUUCGACUUUUGAGGCACCUUGGAAUAUGCAUUCAGAAUCCUGCAUUUGGAAACCAAAUAAACAACGUUAAUAACAAUUUUACAAUAGAAAAAUUAAAAAUUGAUAAAUGGCAGUUGUAAUUUAUGUAUGUGUAAAGAUAGCAUCACAUCCAGGGUCCUCCCAUAAACAUGCUUGUAACAAGAAUUAGUUUGCCUCAACUGCUAGCAACUAUACAAUAGUAAAAAUCACUCUUAUGAACUCAACAAUACUAGGCACCAAUAAGAGUAUGAUACAGCCAUUCUAAAUGGAAGAGAAUACAACUGUUUUACAACUAUGUUGCAUCAGGAGAUAUGUUAGGAGGAUUAAUCCAGAUACCUUCCAACCCAAUUAGGAAAACUCGAGUCAGAAACCAGGAGCUGCAACCAAACCUUACAAUCAUGAAGGAAGAAGGAGACUUGGGGCAUUUUUCCAGAUAGGUGACUUACAAGAUCUCCUGCCAAGAAAAUAUCUAUUGCUUUGAACCUCCAUUGAAAUUUCUUUUCCCUUUUUCUUGUUUUGACUUGGAACUUUCCAGCAUCAUCUAUUUGAUCUUUUUUAGAGCUAAAAUAGCCAUCUAUGGGUUGUCAACAUCUUAUCCCCCCCCCCCCCCCGGGGGGGCCCCCAAAAAAAAAAAACCAAUGAGUUGUCAAUAAAUAGCGCCUACUCAACUUAUGUUCUCCAAUGGAUGACAAUGUGCAAAUCGACCUAGCAGCCACAUUUUUCCCCCCUUUCAACCACCAUUAGGCAACUUUUCUAACCUUUCUUCAUUGCCCACGUCUACAGAACUAUCAUAUAAAGACUACAUUAUUAUUGGGAUAGAGAAAAAAAUACAGAUUAUAUUAUUAUUAUAUCUCAUUUUAUUAAUUAACUAGUGCAAGACUUAUUUAGUGUCAAAUCAAGAACUAAUUAGAAAAGACAACUCAUGAUAAUACAGACCUUAAAAAGCAAUAGCUAGCAACACCCCAUAUACUCCUAUUUUAGCCUUCAAUAUCCUGGUAAAAACACAAUUAAGUCUUGCAAAAGAACAUUCACAAGUAAAUUCAACAUUAAUUAAGAUUAAGUAUCUACUGCACCUUCAAUCAAUGACUGGGUGAAUAGCAUGGUCAACCAUCCGGUUCCUGUAGCCCUCCUUGUACCUAUGUUAGUUACAUUUUACAUAUUAAGCCACGAAAAUGAAGGAUCACAGCCUGGUAAAGAAAGCCAUUAAUUAAUAGUUUUUGUUUAAAAAGUUCUCGUUUAGAUCUUUCCUAUUCAAUGAAUCAAUGUAAUCCAUGGAGAACUCUUCCAUUUCAAGCAGUGUUGGAAGAUAAUUGGAAAGCCUAAAGAUAAUAUACAAGGACCAAGAUAUCAAUUAGGUCAAAUAGUGAAUGUCAAAUAUAAAAAAUAAAUAAAAGAAGUUGUACAUGAUCAUUUACUAUCAAGUUCUGUAAAACUGAAAAUACCAUUAUCCCUGUAGAGAUUCUCAAACAACUCUUUAGCAAAUUAUAAAAUAAUUAAAAAAAGAACGAAAGUUUAAAAAAAAAAAAUGUACAACAGCCAUAUCAGGAGAUGUUUUUCUUCUCAAUCUCAAUAUUUUCUAGCCGUAAAACAAUUGAAAAGCUUAACACCAAGUGAAUUAUUAAGAAUUCAUCAUUUAAAUUCCCAAAUCGCGAAAUGUUGGUGCAACUAGGAAAGUGCAAAUGCAAUCACUUUACUAACACAAGAAACAUCAAUAGUGAGAAGCCAACUUUGUAUCAAAUUUGAAACAGAUAGAUAGAGGUCAAAAAAAUUAUAAAGACACUCAAUUAAAAGCCUUUCAAACAGCUUUUGCAUGCAACAAGAACAAAUCAAAGGCGAUGUGAAUGUAUUGAAAGACUAAUUUACAAUCAUCUACAGGACAUAAAUAUCUUGGAUAACUACUCUCUAUACCUUACUGUCCCACUGAAAAUCAUCAAAUCCCUCCAAACAAAAAUGACAAAAUGGAUAAGAAUUGUGUGGUCAAACUUCAAUAACUUAGCAGCCACAGCAAAAACUUAUGUAGACACGCAAGCCACUCAAAAUAGUCAUAUUGUUUGCUUUCCAAACACAAGCCACUUUGUAAUGAAUAUUCAUAAAUUGCUACUACCAUGUUUGUUAAAACACGUGAAAACCACCAUCACUAACUAAAUGUAACUGAUGAUCAUCAUCACGUUCAUGGAAUCACAUGUCUGACAGUAUUAAUUAGUGCAAAUGGCAUGCUUCUUAAAACUCCUUAUUUAUCACAUGGGCGCCAUUCCAAUCAACCAAUGAUUCUGAUCUAGUCAGCAUAUUCAACCUACGAGCCAGUAAUACCUCCAUUGCUUCUUUAGAUUUCUCAACGAAAUUCCGCAUUCUAACCAUACUUCUGAACUUGUUGCUCCGAUAGACUAAUACAAUAUAAAGAUUUCUUCCCACACCACCUCAGCCCCCACUCCUAAAAAACCAAUUUAAAUUCUCAUUGACUGUACAACCUAUAGUCCAUACCAAAUUGAAAAAUUUACAAAUAUAGAACCUCAAAGAAUCUUCUUGUGUUCCAUUUUUUUACGGGAAGAAAAUUGACUUUUACCACAUGCAAGUCAACAAAUAAAACAAUCAUGUCUUUGUGAGAUGCACAUUUUCAGACGAAUCUGAAGAACAAUGAAACCAUAAAAACCUAAUAUGAGAACACCGAGGACUCCAGAUAUCAUCUAUAGAAUCUUUGGUCCACCCUUGCAUGAUGAAAAAAAAUUGAAGGCUUCGUCACCAACUCCCCAGGUUGUUUUGUUCUCCUAUCUCCUAAAUGUAAAGGAAAGGCAACCUGUUCUUUUUCCAAUCUUAAGGGGCACAGAACGACUCUGGUAUAAAAUAGUCAGUUUCUAUACAAAAAUAACUCCUUUGCACUUGGCACUGCACAUCUCAAAAUAAAAAGCAUGCAAGGAGGAGAUAUAAUAGCAUUAAACAAGUUUUAUUAACCAAACUUCAAAGAUGCCACACAAGGCAAAAAAGAAAUCUGUACAAGCCAGAUCCCAAGAAUAAUAAUUCCAAUACACAAUUCAGGAAAACAAUAACUAAAACCAGGUUCAUGAGGCCUCAGCAGAAGCAACAUGUAAUAGCCAUACUCUAUUAUUUGAAACCCAUUUCCAAGUUUGGUUAAGAUUCUAAACUAUUCUCUAUGUGUCAAUUAUUAACAUGUAAAACAUAAUAAUACACUUAAACUACUACAGUAGUAAAACCAGUAAAACAACAAUACCUGCUAAAAAGAUUUGCUACCUCUUCACAUUCACGAGCAUUGUCGAACCAAAUCCCAUUUACUUCUUGGGAUGCAUUCCGAUAUAACAAAUACGGAACCUGAACUUCAAACUCAAAAUCUCCCAAAAGAUUUUCCACUAAAUUAUCUGCACAUAUCCAAGAUAUUGAAGCUUAUCAGUGCAAAAACAUAUGCAAAAAGACAUGAAGGUUAGGAGAUAUAACUAAAACAUAUCAACAACUGAUAAGCACAACAAGACAUGAAAUAUAACACAAGUUGUAAACAAGAUAGACACACGAUAUCUAAAUAAUUGUACCAACCCCCUCUCCUGAUGGUCAUAAAACGACCAAUAUUUAACGCUAGACAACAACAUUGCAAAUACUUUAGCCUCUGUAAUAUUGGCAUAUAAAUAUUUUCGGUUAGGUACAUUAUUUUCUUCGUUCUAAAACCUCAAUAAUUAGCUAGAACUGUGAUAAAGUGAUUCAUCACUGAAAUUAAAACUAGUUCACGUACAAAUAAUCAAAACUGAAAUAGAAGCAACGAUAAACCAACCUGUAUUACGUCGAUUCAUCACAACAAACUGAAAUCGAGGCUGUGUGUUCCUGAAAAUUGAAAAAAUAAUAAUUUCACCAACUUCAUAUGUAAUACAAUCUCCAAAACACCGAAUAUCAAAUGAAAAAAUGGAAAGCAUAAGAGAGAAAAGAAUCUAAUUUUAUUGACCUUUUGACGACGAAGAGAGAUCCUUCAACAUCCUUACGACUCCAUUGGCUGAGAUCGAUGUUGAACUCGUAGAAGGUGACAUGAGCGGCCGUGAUGAGGAUUUCCUCAAUGAAUGGAUCGAUUAGCUGAAGAACUGUCAGGUUUAGGAGUUUUGUGCUCUGCUGGUCCAGAUUAGGCAUCAAUUUUCCGUUCUGCGACAUUUUUUAUAGUCGUUUUGGGCUCUGCCCCGAGCACUAGCCCUCAGGUUUUUCUGUGAGCUCUCUCUUUUGUAAAUGAAGUGUUUGAU